RNAcentral lists this long non-coding RNA (58014 nucleotides) under Prunus persica (peach). RNAcentral's name for it is "long non-coding RNA (PPER_LNC003982)". Lineage: Eukaryota; Viridiplantae; Streptophyta; Magnoliopsida; Rosales; Rosaceae. The record is from RNAcentral.
UCAUUCAAGCCCUGCUUCUCAGCAUUGUAGUUGUUGUGGUUGUUUUGGUAAUUGGUUGGGGUUGUGGUUGUGGUAUUGCUGCUCUGUGAGAACCUUGUGUCACUUGGGGGGGCCGGGCCGACAUGGUUGUUAAAGUUGUUCUUGCUGGGGAUUAAUUGGGCGUUGUAGGUCUGAGGGUACUUGUUGGUGUGCUGCUGCUCUUUCUCUGACUCAGCUGUAUAUGGCAGGUUGUUGUUGUUGGUGGUGAAUUGUGCACCAUUGGUAGUGGUGUAGGGUGCACCGGUGGUUGUGGUGGUGUAGGGUGCACCGGUGUUUGUGGUGGUGUAGUGUCCAACGGUGUUUGUGGGGGUGGGAGGCAGCUGGCCAGACCCAUGGCCAUAGAGACCAUCGAGACCAUAUCCACUUUGGGUCUCUGGAAUGAAGGCUGGCUCUUGCUCUUGCUUUUUCAAAGGGGUUUCUGCUAUGGGGAUCUCCUUCUCAUAGUUGUUGUGGUUGUUGACAUUGGCCACUUUGCUAAAGAAUUGGUUUUCUCUAGCUUGAGCUUGUUGAGAGAAGAGGAGAGAUGCAAGGAAGAAGAGGAAAGAGAACAAUUUUGCAGCAGAAGCCAUAGUGGCAAGUGAACUUGUUGGGAGGCAGCUGCUGUAAACUGAGUGUAUAUUGUGGGGGAGAGCUAGUGGUAGUCCAUUCUUUAUGUAGAGGACCAUUUUUCUUCUCACCCAAAAUUUUCAACUGAUUAGGUGCAAAUGGGCUGGAGGAUGGGUGAUGGUUUGUGGUCCUCAGUGGGGGCAGAACAACAACAAUAUUGAGCACUCUUUUUUUUCCUUUUUCCAGUUAAUUAGUUUAUUUUGUUUUGUUUUUUUUAAAAAAGAUAUGUAUAUACACAUUUUGGAUGCACUUCAUGCUUUCCAUGGAGGAAAACAACAUAAUUAUCUGCCAUUUUCUCUACUAAGAGCAUUUUUAGCAGUUAACCCCUUGCCAUGGCAAGAGGAGCUCCAAGACAGCUACUAUUCAUGUGAAUAGUAGCUGCCUUAGCCCCCAGCAAAGUGUGUUUCCAACAGUUGCCUUUUGCUAUGGCAAAUACUAUUCAUUUUUUUAUUUUUUUUUUCACAACUUUGUUUACUUAAACAAUUAACUUGGAUAAUAUUUUCGGAAUAGAUUUGGGUUCCUACGUGUCAAUACUAUUCAUAUCGGACAAGAUUUUCGGUUUCAAAUUUCAGAUACAUUUCAAAAUUCAAAUUUCAGAUAAAUUUCAAAUGUCAAAUUUCAGAUACAUUUCUAAAUUCAAAUUUCAGAUAAGAUUUUCACCCUCUAAGAUUGCGCCACGUGUCGUAUCUAUUUGCCUAAAUUUUUCUAUAAAACCAGAGGCUCAGCUCAUACCUUCCACACCAGAUCUUCUCUACAUUUCCAUUUCUCAGAUUUUAGAUUUCAUUCUCCAUUCUCAAUGGCAGACAUGCAAGAGGUUUUGGAGAGGCAAGAGCAAGAAACUAGAGAAAGAAUACGUAGACGAGAGCAAAAGGGCGCAGAGAGAACUAGAUGAGCAACUUGGCAUAGCAGUUGCUUUGCUGGAGGAAGAAAACCAGAGCCGCCGUGGUUCAUGAGAAGGCCGUGGCUCGAAUGUGGACAGACAUAGACAUUCUCGGGGUAAGAAUCUUCUGGAAGAUUAUUUUAUCACUACAAGGAAAAUUCCUUUUAGUGACGAAACAGGAUGGUCGCAAUAACAUCAAAGUUCGUCGCCAAAUAUAAAUAGCGACGAAUAUUUUUGGUUGCCAAGGUCGUCGUUGAAAGCUCGUGGCUAAAGAUACCAUGCGACGAAACAAAAUAUCGUCGCUGAAAUAUUUUAGCAACCAAUUUUGUCGUCGCUAAACAGAUCUAAGUUGGUCGCCUAUCGAGAGUGAGUUGCCGCCAAAAUACCAAAAAUUCCCGCGAACAUGGAACUAUUUGGCGACGAAAUAUUUGGUCGCUUGAACAUUUCAGCGACGAAUGUUUUGGUCGUGAAAGAUGUAGUUUAUUUGUAGCAUAUGUUAGUUGGUUUGGUUAUUUUCAGAAUGGGCGACGAAACAGAUUGGUCGCCAAAUCUGUAGAUAUUGGUAUUGUCAGUUGAGCGAUGAAAACUAAUUCGUCGCCAAAAAAGUAUUGAAUUUUUUUAUAAAUAAAAUAUUUAUUUAUAUUUCAAGCUUUGUAACAGAAUAUUAUUUAGUCCAUAAAGUUUUUGAAAAACAGUAAAUAGAUUAAAUGAAUAGAAAUAGCAUAAUUACUAUUCAAAAGAUACCAGUUGUUUAAGCACACAUCAAUAUAUGCUAGAUACAAAAACCCCCAAGAUAUCCUAGAUACAAAAACCAUCAAGUAGCUAGAUACAGAAGCCCCUAGAACCCCAAGGUAGGCUAGAUACAAAAACCAUCAAGUAUGUAGAUGUACACACAACCUAGUGACUAUUUCCAAUAUCAUCAAGAUCCGCAUAAACAUUACGUGAACCACCACUAUUACCUUGAUCAUCAUCACAAGGAGAAUCACCAACAUGCUGGGACAGAACACCUAAACAUGAGGGUAGAGGACCAUCAUGGGUUCGCAUCCACUCAAUGACAUCCAAAAGUUUACCCACUAUGCCCUGAAGCUCACUUACUGUGCCUUUCAACUCACCAACUGUGCCUUGAAGUUCCUCAACCUUUUGCUCUGUGGCAAAAGAAGAGGCAACUCCACCACUAUGCGCACUCUCCACUCGGAGACUAGAACCCAAGCCUCGAAUCCUCUUGCCCUUUACAACCCCAAGCUCUAUAAUCAUGAUCUCUAACUGUUGUGGGAUAGGGAGUGUGACUUGAUCUAGUGGAGUUCCUGAACUCUCUGCCACUUGUUGCUUGGCCUUCUCAUACUCUUCAUUCAUCUUCUUCUACAAAAAGAAGCAAAAUAAAGAUAUGUCAAUAUAUAUAAAUGCAUAAAAAGAAUGAGGUAAAUGGGAUGCCAGUACGAUCAAUUGUGUUCAUAAACUAGCAAUGCCAAUUAUCCUAAUCAAACAGUCACAAACAAAAAUUUCGUUUCAGCUUGAAGCAAAUAAUAAAAGUAAAUUUAGGUUUUACCCAUAAAAAAAUUUUCACUUUUGGAAAAAGCCAAAGCUUUUUCAAAAAAGACAGAAAAACCUCUCAACUUUCAAACCAAAGACAUGCAAAUGUAAAGGAUUCCUUAGGAAAUCAAAAAAUAAAUAAGGGCAAUUUUGUCCAUUUUGGCUUCUUUUAAAAUUUUUCUCUCUCCUUUGGGCUUUUCCAAAGUCUCCCAAUAAUAAAAGGAAAAGGCACAUAAAAAAAUGGAAUAGAUCUCUUUGGAUAUGCAGAUUGCAGAAAGUUAGAAAAUACUCACAGAUCUUAUAAGAUCUUUUUCUGCAUCUCCUGAAAGCAACGACAAUACAAACAAGAAACUUCCAAAAACAAGGAUUAUAAAUAUUUGCCCAGCAACAUGGCCCCCUUAUAAUUGGGCCUAAAUUUUAACUUCUAAGAGCACAACGGGUUAUUCGAACUGAAUUUGUUUAAUAGGAAUUUGGAAUUGGGCCUCCAAAGAGGAAUCGAAGUACAAUUGUAGCAGCUCUGUUUCAAAACAAUCUUAGCAUGCACUUUUUUUGGUCUUCAAUAUAUAAGAUAAUGGAAAAUUUAGAAAACUCAGACACAUCUUCAUUGUGUUUCUAAUUAAUUAGUUCUAUUUGCAAUGGAUAAAGCCAUUAUAUGAUGCUAAAACCAAAGUACACAAUUAGCAUCUAAAAUAAUAGGUCGUCAAAAACUUGCAUGACCAGUCAGCUGAUUUUUUGGAUUGCAUAAUAUGCAAGUCAUUAGUAAAUUGUCAGCAGGUUUAUGUAUUCCUUACCCCUUUAAUUUCAGCAACCUCAUUGAUCCACAUGCUCUUACUCUUAAGAAUAUGCAUGUUGUUCCAAUUGCUAAUGUAUGUAGGAUUUUCACCCUUCUACAUUUUCCCAACAAAAAGAAAAUGAGAAAUACUUGAAAGUAUUACAAUAUAAUAAAUAAAGAAACAUUUAAAGUGACCAAAAGUUAUAAACCUCUCUAGCAGCUUCCAUAUGUUUUAGGAAAGGACGUGACCCGCCUGUAUGAUCAAACUCUUUCUUUUUUCUGUUCUCAGCAUUGGUCUUGCAGCGUUUCUGUUUUGAUUAAAUACAUGAAUUGUUAUGUCUUUUUUUCUAUUUGAUACUUAGAAUAAGUUCCCAAUCAAAAAAUGAAAACUGCAGAUGUUACAUUAGAUACGUGAUAUUGCUCAUUUGUGUAGAACGUAUCAACCAAAUAAUGCCACUCUUCUAGAGUCCUUCGAGUACCAAAUAUCUUUUCAGGGGGAGGUGUUUCUCGUGCAAGAUCAGGGUUAGAAGCAUAUUGCUUAUAGUGUCUGUGGAGCUUUGCUUUCCAUUCUUUAUAAGUUGAGUGCAUAUAGUCAGUAAUAAAUUUCCAUAUAUCCGGAUCCGUUAAGUCCACAUGAAACAUGAACUAAUAUCAAUUAACCAUAAACAAAACAAGUAUUAAUUAUAAUUUUCAAUGCAAAUAGAAACAUUGAAGGACAAAUUUUUCAGUUCACACUAAAAUACAAUGAAGAAUUGAAAUAAAAAGAGAGCUAAAUGAACAAAAUUAAAUUAUAAUCAAUGAAGAAUUAGAUAAGAUUACCUGCAAACCCAAAGCCAUAUCUUUCUUCGUCUCCAAGCUCACUUUUUUCAUCCCUAAAAUAUUCAAGGGAGCUUUGUUGCGAGUGAUUAACCCAAUCUCAGAGACGAACAGUUUUUGAGCCUCAAUAGUCGCCACCAAUUUCUGGGAUGGAUCCAUCCGUAUUGGAAUCAAACUCUUCCUCUUUUUCACAACAUCACAAGUGCUAGCCCCCACAGUUCGGCCACGAGUGUUCUUCCUUUGUGAAGAAGUUUGAGUAUGCGUUCCUUCAUCUAGAAGAAAAACAAUUCUAAAAAUCAAUAACUUGAUUGCACAAAAUAAAAGUAUAAAAAUUAAGGGCACAAAAUAUGGUAUCAGUUACCUUGUUGGCAGGAACCCCCUCCUGAGGCUGAUGAAGCACCUUGUUGUGGCUGAGUUGAUUGUUGUUGUGGCAGUUGACAUGGUUGCUCAAGUGGCUGUGGUGGUAGUAGAGUUGAAGUUUUCUUCUUCUUAUUGUUAUUGUUGCUUAAGGUAGCAGCCCUCGUAAGUGUCAUUCUACACUUACAAACACAUAAACAAAGAGAGAAUACAACAAUAUACUACUAGAUCAUUCCUUGAUAAAAUAAAAAUAAAUGAUUGAACAUCAUACUUCAGCUGUAAUAACAUCAAUUUUCAUCACAAACGUGCUUGAGAUAAAGGAAUUAUUCAUUAAAAAAUGAUUGAACAUCAUACUUUAUCAAUAGGAAAGAAAAAUAACACUCACAUGCAUUUCAUUUACAUGGGAAGGACAUAUACAAACCUUAUCCGAAGAUAUUUCUUUAAUAUACAGACCUUACAGACCUUACCCCUUAAAACAGAUUAAGGAAAACAUAUAGUAACUUGAAGAUAAUUAAGAAACAUAUAGUGCCUAAACAAAAGACAACCUAACACUUCAAUCCAAUUCCAAAUCCUAUAAUCGUCAAUGUGAACACUACCUUCGUCAUCACCGAAAGGUAUUUGUUCAAUAUCAUCGUCAUCAAUAAAAUCUUCAUCCUCCAUAUAAUUUGGGACAUGCACGGACAUGGAGUCUCAUUCUUCUCAUCAACAUGUUGGCUUGCAACUUCCAUAAAUGACUCAAUACCAACACAAUAUUGAUUACUCAACCUGUUUUUAUUGUGUAUCCAAACCCUGUUCAUCUCUAACGCACCUUGUCUCCGUCUUCUUAUACCUCCUAUAAUGGGCCUUCUCCAAUUCAAUCGGUGAUGACUUGAAGCAGUUCCAAAAUUUCAUAACAUGAUUAGAUCGAACACUUAUAUAGAUACAAGCCAAUAACUCUUUCACAUAAUGAUAAGCUAAUAACUGUUUCACAUGAAAAUUAUAAAAAGAGGGAUUCCACAUUAAUUAUGCUUUUCAAGGGUAAGUAUCAAGGUAACAAUAUUUUUUUUUUACGAUUCUUUCAACAUUAUUUUGCAUAAUCUAGUUGAACCCAUGAAACCAGUGAAAAAAAAUGAAGGCAGGUGCAAGAUUUGCAGCUAUUCAUACCUCUAAAGCAAAUAUAGCCUCUUAAGCAAGUAUUUCAAACAACCUAUUGCCCAAAAAAAAAAAAUCAGUUAGACACAGUAAACCCAAGACACAUAGCCUCUUAAACAAAUAUAGCCUCUUAAGCAAGUAAUUCAAACACCCUACUGCAAAAAAGAAAAAGAUAAAAACAAAUCUGUUAGACACUAUUUUUGGAGGGCUUGAGUCCAAAUUAGUCUUCAAACUCAAAAUAGUAUAUGCCUUCGCCUCUAAGUUUCACCACUCAUCAUUAAACAAAAAAAUUAUUUUUCUGAGUUAACUCAAAACAGUAACAUAAUAAGACAUCACAGGAAGCACCAAAUAUCCAAGAUAAAAUUCUCAACAUAAAACCAAAUGGUUCAAAGUAAUAUUGUAAUCAACACAUCCACUUUAUACAGUGAUAACAUGUACAAUGAAUAAAGUCAGGCUUAAGGUCACAUGUCUCUCAUGUAGUAUAUGAAUUAUCCGAAAUUAAUAAUUAGGCUCUUCAUCUCAAUUCCAAAACAAAUUAUUAUUCUUUAUAGUUCUUAAUUAUAUAUGCCCUAAAUGAUUAUAAAAAUCAUUUCAAAUUAACAAAAAUUUACCCUUGAAGCUAAUUGAAUGACCUUGCGUAAAAUUCAAGCUACCAAUGAUCAUCACAUAAAGCCAAAAUGGUUUGUUAAAAAAGAAAAAAAUGUGGCUGGAAGAGCUUGAAAAGGAUUUCCAAAACAAUCAAACCAACAUUGAAGGAUGAUACUCCAUCAGUUAAAUUCUAUUGUCCAAUUAAGUGGUACUACACUUAGACACCAAUACUAAGGGAAAUAAAAAUAAUUGCUAAACUGACGAGUUAAUCUAUGGGAUGAUGAACCUGCAGCUAGCUUAUAUAUAAAAUAUAGAGACAACUCUGCAGCUAGCUUAAUCUAAACUAUAAAGAUAACUCAAUAAGCUACAUUGGCAAAAAAAAUCAAUAAUAAUAACCACACCAAAAAAAAAAAAAAAAAAAAAAAAGAAGAAGCUCAUAGACAAAGGCAAAGGAACCUUGAAACGAAUACACACCCACAUGACCAACUUCCAACUUCUAACUUUUUACUUCAAUUAUAUAAAUGAAUUGUUAUAUUCUUUCUUCCAACAGAUAGUAAAGAAAUUCAGAUUUAAUCCAGAAGUAUCAAGCAAACAUUCAAGACUUGGAAAAUAAUCAAUCAGACUCAAAGCAUUAAAACUAAAAAACUGAAUUAACUAUUGGGUACGUCUGCAAGUGAAACAUCUCAAAUUUGACACAGAACCCACAUCAAAUGCAAAACAAGGCAUUCAUAUCAGACACAAAACCCUACUCAAAUUUGACAUAGAACCCACAAUAACCACUUGAAAAAUAAACGUCAUUGUAUUCAGAAAACUUGAACAGUUGAAUGUUCAAGCAUUUAAGAUAUCAAAAAGGAAAAAUCAAGCACUGAAAUUCAGUUUCGAUUUAAAUUCCUGGGUAUCUAUUUCCGAUUUUCCUUGAUUAUUUUCUCAACAACCAAAUAGAAUCUACAACUGAAAAUCAGCGAUCAAAAGACAAUGAAUGUAAGCUAGACAAGGUAGACUCACCAGAAGCUUUCGUUGAAACACACAGUGAGGAGGACUUAGGAGAUGGAGUUUUCGUAUGGCCGUCGAUUCCUGACCGUGGUAGGGAAAGGCAUGCGAGAUGGAGGAUUGCUCUGCCGACGUCGGUGGAGGAUUGCUUUGCCAAUGUGAGAGCAGGGGAGAGUGGGUCUGCGAGGAACUAACGAGUAAGGAACUUUUUAUUUUUAUUUUUAUAUUUAUACUCUCUAGAUUAGCCCCAAAAACUGUUUGGUCGUCAUAUGCUAACAUACAUAAAACAACGUCGGUUUAUGGUUCAAGCACAAUGAUCUGCGACGAAAAACAAAUGGUCGCUGACCCCCGAAAUUUUUAAGCGCCAAUUAUAACUUAGCGACAACACAUUAAAACUUAGCGACCUAAUAUUUUCGUCGCCAAAACUUUUAGAGUUUCGCACGCACCCAAUUCAGUAAAUCGCGAUCAAAUAUAUGUUUGGUCGCCAAGUCCUUACCUAACCACCAAAAACUUUCGUUGCCUUUAGUUGAUAAAUUAGUCGCUAUUUUGUUGACUCAAGUCAUGAUAGGUGUCUAAAAAUCACGAACUUUUUGGUGACUAACUAGAAAAUUUUCAUAGCCGAUGCCCUUUUUGGCAACCAAAAUAUAGUGCGUCGCUAACAAUUUCGUCUCAAAAGAGGUUUUUCCUUGUAGUGUAUCCCACAUUCUCUAUACUCUGAUGUUCAUUUUCGAGCGAGAUAUAGAAUGCAAUCCCAUUUGUUCAAUAAAGUCAUGCAUAAUAUUUGCAAUUAUGAUGAAUACUUCGUUCAAAAGAAAAAUUGUGCUGGAAAUUUGGGACUUCUUCCCGAGCAAAAGUUCAUAGAUGUGAUACGAAUGUUGGCGUAUGAGUCAUCUGCUGAUCAGGUGGAUGAGGUUGCCCGGACAGGGAAGUCCAUUAUUUUGGAGAGUUUGGUGCGAUUUUGUGAUGCAGUGGAAACUCUGUACACUAGAGACUACCUGUGCAGACCUACGCCCAGGGACCUGUAAUGGCUUCUACAAAAAGCUGAGUCUCGUGGAUUUCCUGGAAUGAUUGGUAGCAUUGACUGCAUACAUUGGCAAUGGAAAAAUUGUCUAACUGCUUGGCAAGGGGAUUACGGAAAUAGGAAAGGGCAGAAAAGUAUCAUCUUGGAAGCAGUUGCUGGUUUCGAUACAUGGGUUUGGCACGCCUUCUUCGGAGUUGCCGAAUCUCAAAACGAUUUGAACGUCCUGGGUCAAUCCCCGGUGUUCAAUGAUGUUUUGAGAGGUGAAGCCCCAAAUAUCACAUAUGAAAUCAACAAUACCAUCUACCAGAACGGGUAUUAUCUAGCUAAUGGCAUCUACCCGAGGUGGAUAACAUUUGUGAAAUCAAUUCCACAUCCCCGAUCCCAUAAGUAAAUUUUUUUGCUGCCUAUCAAGAGGGAUACAGAAAAGAUGUGAAGAGGUGCUUUGGUAUCCUUCAAGCCCGGUCCGCUGUUAUUAGGGUCGCGGCGCGUCUAUUUGACGAGGAGGUGCUUAGGAGUAUAAUGAUGACUUGUAUCAUCCUCCACAACAUGAUUGUGGAAUAUGAGUAUGAUUACGAUGCUGAUGAAGUGUAUGACCAGAUCCCAUGGACACGGCCCUAACACGAAUUUAUGAAAAACCCAUAGGGCCAAAUGGAGAGCCAGUGCAGCAUGAACCGUUAGUUAGAGACGGUAGUUUCAUGCCCCGUAUAAUUGAUCGCUACACGGAUAUGCAAUCGUCGUAUAUUCAUGAACAUCGUCAAGUUGACUUGAUGGAGCAUUUAUGGGUAGUGAAAGACAAUAAAGGUGAAUGAAGUGAAGUGAAGAUGUUUUUUUAAUUUAUUAUGUUUAUGUUGUAUUUUUAGUUAUGCUUUAUUUUUUUUAUCCUUUAGUUGUGAUUUGUUUAUUUUUUUAUGCUUUGGUUGUGGUUUGCUUUUUAUGUAUGGAAUGUUUUGAAUAAAAAGUAAUUUUGUUGAAUAUUUUCUUUAUUCACUAAAAGAAAAUCAAUACAACUAAUAAAAUAAAUCAUCCUGUUCUAGAGCUAAAACCAUAGCUGUCCCAAAUUCAAACAUAAUUAUCAUUAAACUAAAACCAUACAGCUAUUAAGUUUUGAAUAGAGAACUUGAUCUGGAAAUGAGAAUUGACAUAGGAACAAGCUACAAGAAGGAAAAAUCUUAAAUUUAUUGAAUUUAUAAAUAUUACAACAGACAAAUUAAUUGAAUCAAUUCAAUAAGAAAUUGGACAGCUGAAAACAAGUCAAAAUGGUCCAGCUAUGACAUGAUACUAGUACAUAACACUUGUCACUCAAAUUGAUUCCACAAAUUGACUAAAGAAAGAUAAAUAAACAAAGGAGCUGAAAAUCUAUUGAGAAAAAUGCACGCAUAUUGCAUAAUAUGAACAACUAUUGAAAGCAACGUAUCUGAAAUUAUUGUUUAGAUAUCUGAAGGUAAGCCAUCUAAGUCUCUUUUUUUAUUGGGCAAAGAGAUUAUCCAUAAGAUGAAAGCAAACAAACAGUAUAAACAUGAAGCCCAAAGAAAGGCGGGAAACACCUCCUGCAACCAAACAGCCAAGAGAAAAAGACGGCUAUCUGAGUCUAUCCACUAAAUACAGAAGGAUCGAGUCUGGUUAAACCAAGCCCUUGUAAAGACAUGAGUACCUUGUUUAUCUUCAUUUGUUCAUCUUCCCCAAAAACAAAAAACGUGAGAAUCAGGCAUAGGAGGGUGGGAUUUUUUUAUGGGGUUUGGUAUUUAUAUCACCCACUCAAAAGUCUCACACAAUACACCAUUUAACGAAAUACCUCAAAAUCGAUAAGUUUUUUAAUACCAACGUACUUUUUCUAAUCUUUUAAAAGUCCUAAUUGAAUACCACAAGACUUGAAUUGAUUAUUUCAGAGUUUUUCUAUUUAAACCUCAUACUUUUUUUUGUUCACCUCAAUACUUAAAUCAUUAAGCUUUUAAGUUUUAUUAUUGUGUAAAAAGACAAAAAAGAACAUCCAACUUAUUAUUGUAUUUAAACCCCAUACUUUUCUUUGGUUGCUAAUUGCUCAAAUUAAGAACAUAAUUUACUGCUAUCAACAAAAAUAAAAAUAAAAACCACUGCGUGCAAAGUCCAGGUAAUCAACAAGCUCUCUCGUGACUGCUCUUCAUUUGUCAUUCAUGAAGACAUAAAGAUACCCACUUGUAAUUCUAUCGCCAUUAUCUUCUUGACUACUUGUCUUCUUCUUUUUCAAGGAGACUAAUCUUUUUAUUUGUCUUCUCUGAAUUUAUAAUUGUUUCCUUGAAGUUGCUGUUAUCUGGGUUUUUUUAUUUUUCUUUAUGGUAUAUAUUUGAAAGGAUCCUCUGCAGUUGGUUCAGUAUUUCUUUAAGUUUUGGUUACAUUUUCCUUUUCUUUGGGGUUCUUAUUAUCUGGGUUCUUGGUGAUUGUUAAUUGUAUUUGUGCAAAUGGGUUUCUAGAGGUUACGUUAAGUAUUUUUUAUUAUUUUUUCUUAUUGCAUUAGUUUUUAUUUUAUUUAUGUUCUUAAGGAUUCUAGUAAUUACUAACUUAGGUGCUUAAAUUCAUAGUGUUAAUUAUGCAAUUUGUUUUCAUUUGGUUCUGGACGACUAAGAUAAAAAUUGGUGGCUUGAGCCAAGUGUGGCUGUGGAAAUUGAUGGAAGCCUAAGAAAAGAAUGAGGAGAGUCGUUUCAGAAGAUGGACCAAGAAAAGACUGAGGUGCCUAAAACUCCUCCAGCACUAAACACCCGGAGAAGGGCUCCGGUUGCUUCUGGUCGACAUAACACCACACAGAAGGAGAAAGUGGGGUGUCAGGUUGUUGAAAUUUUUUUAAUUAUUUUUUCUCAUGGGUGUGUAUUUAGGGGUAGUUUGAGAAGACAUUGAGGUUUACUUAGAAAUUGUGAAAAUUUGAAUUAAAAAUGGGAGAUUUUGGAAAAGUCCAAAGGAGAGAGAAAAUUUUUAAAAGAAGCAAAAAUGGACAAAAUUGCCCUUAUUUAUUUUUUGAUUUCCUAAGAAAUCCUUUACAUUUGCAUGUCUUUGGUUUGAAAGUUGAGAGGUUAUUCCGUCUUUUUUCAAAAAGCUUUGGCUUUUUCCAAAAGUGAAAGUUUUUUUAUGAGUAAAACCUAAAUUUACUAUUAAAAAUUGGGGUGAACUUAGAAUAUGAGGAAAAGAGAAGUGCGAGGUUUAAAUAGAAAAACUCUUAUUUAAAAUUCUUAAUUGAAUACCACCAAAUUUUUAUUGAUUACAUAAAAAUCCUAAUUGGAUACCACUGAACUUUUAAGCUUCAAAACAAUCUAUUAAAAUCUCAAUUGAAUACACAUAAAUUGCAUAAUGGACAGAUAGAUAAAUACUUGAUACCAAUCUCAUUCGAUACAGGCAUAGAUACUUCACAAAAAUCUCAUCUGCUAAUAUGUAGAUGCCACCUAUGAUCCCAACUACUAGGUUGGUCCACUACUAAAUUAUGAAAUUUGUCAGCAGAGGAGAGAAAUAAUAAAGAUGAUAUUAUUGAAAUUUCCUGUUGGUUAGAUUCUGUUAAAUUUCCCAACUUCUGUCACAUUUAAUUUUUCUAGUGUAUGUGUAUGUGUACGCUGCUGCUCUUCCGCUUCAUGAUGAUGAUUUGCACGACUGGUAAGUAUCAGAUUGGUAAAAAAUAAUACUUCAUUCUUCUUAAUAUAUAACAAAUAGGAAGGUUAUAUAUACAGAGCCUAGGAAACUAUUCUAGGAAAGUAAUUAUGUUCCUAUAAUCUUGCAUAAUCAAAUAGUUGACUUAGACUAAUUAGGAAUGUACAGCUCAUUGACACUCCCCCUCAAGUUGGAGCAUAUAUGUCAUCAAUGCCCAACUUGCUAAGUGAGUUGUGAAAUACCCUGCCUGUGACUGCUUUGGUAAGGACAUCUGCAAGUUGAUCUUCGGAUUUAACAAAUGAUACCUUAAUGAUCUUUGCCUCGAGCUUCUCCUUGAUGAAAUGUCUGUCAACUUCAACAUGCUUGGUUCUAUCAUGUUGCACUGGAUUAUGUGCAAUGUCUAUUGCAGCUUUGUUGUCACAAUUCAGUUGCAUGGCAUGUUUAGGUUUGAACCCCAAUUCCUCCAACAAAUUCCUUAUCCAGAGUAGCUCACAUACUCCGUGUGCCAUACCUCGAUAUUCUGCUUCAGCACUUGAUCUUGACACUACUUUCUGUUUUUUACUUCGCCAAGAUACUAGAUUGCCUCCUACAAAGGUAAAGUAUCCCGACGUAGAUCGCCUGUUAGUAACAGAGCCCGCCCAGUCUGCAUCAGUGUGACCCUCAACAUCUAGAUGACCAUGUCGUGCGAACAUCAAUCCUCUUCCAGGAGAUGACUUCAAGUAUCUCAAAAUUCGGUUUACCGCAUCCAUGUGGGCUUCACUUGGUGCAUGCAUGAACUGACUCACCACACUUACAGCAUAUGCUAUAUCAGGUCUAGUGUGUCCUAGAUAGAUUAACUUACCCACAAGGCGUUGAUAUCUUUCUUUGUUGGUGGGUACUUGAUCAGGAUAUUCACCAAGCUGAUGAUUCAACUCCAUUGGCGUAUCUGCUGGUUUGCUGGCUAACAUUCCAGUGUCAGUCAAAAUGUCAAGGAUAUAUUUCCGUUGUGAUAGAAAUAUUCCUUGUUCUGAACGAGCCACUUCGAUGCCUAGGAAAUACUUCAGAGCACCAAGAUCUUUCAUUUCAAACUCACUUGCCAAGUGGUGCUGCAAUGCUGCCUUUUCUAUUGGGUCAUUCCCGGUAACUACCAUGUCAUCAACAUAUACAAUAAGGGCAGUGACUUUACCUUUCUUAUGUUUCAGGAAAAGAGUAUGAUCUGAGUUACUUUGCUUGUAUCCAAAAUCCUUCAUUGAUUUGCUGAACUUUCCAAACCAUGCUCUGGGUGACUGCUUCAAGCCAUAAAGAGACUUUCUCAGUUUACACACCAUGUUGCUAGUAUUGGGCCCCAUCUUGCAUCCUGGAGGGGAAUCCAUAUAGACUUCUUCUUCUAGGUCGCCAUGCAGGAAGGCAUUUUUGACAUCAAACUGGUGUAAUGGCCAGUUUAGGUUUGCUGCCAGAGAAAGAAGUACCCGAAUUGUGUUUAUCUUGGCUACAGGGGCAAAUGUCUCCCCAUAGUCAAUCCCAUAAGUCUGAGUAUAACCUUUCGCCACCAGUCUUGCUUUGUAUCGUUCAAUGGUGCCAUCUGCCUUGAACUUUACUGUAUAUAUCCAUCUACAACCCACUGUUCUCUUCCCUUUGGGAAGGAUAGUCAUCUUCCAAGUGGAAUUCUUCUGGAGGGCCUCCAUUUCAUCAUUCAUCGCUUGAGUCCACUUGGGAUCUUUCAGAGCUUCCUGCACAUUACUUGGAAUAGAUACAGUGGAUAAUUGACAUACAAAUGAUGCACAUGACGGAGACAACCUAUGUAGGGACACAUGAUUAGCAAUAGGGUAUUUAACUUUUGUUUUUGGGUCCGGGUCAUACUGUUGUCUAGGAAUCCCUCUAGUGGUACGAAUAGGUAACUGAUAACCUGUGUUUCCUGUAUGACUCGACUCAUGUAAAGUGCUUAAGUUGGAGUUUAAAUGCUCAGUUACCUGCGCGGAAUCUUCAGGACCUGAUUGGAUGAUUGGUGAUGGUACUGUAGUAGGAGGGAAAUUAUCUGAACCAUCAUAUGGAGUUUCCAGUAACUCUUGAUCUUGUUGUACUACUGUAGCUGGUUGCUCGGACACUGACUGCUCUAAAACAGUUUGUUGAAUUUGGAUGCUCUGAGUAUCUUCUGCAAAGAUAGAGCUCUCCCCCUGCAGAGGAUGCUCAGAAACUCCCCCUGAGUAAUAGAACUCACUCUCGUGGAAAGUCACAUCGGCGGUAACAUGCAUGGUCUGAGUAGGAGGAUGGAAACACUUAUAGCCCUUCUGAGUGUCAGCAUAACCCACAAAGACACAACGCAGUGCACACGGAUCAAGCUUGCCACGCUGAUGUGGAUACACCUGAACAUAAGCAACACAACCAAAGACACGUGGUUCGAGAUUUGGUGUGGAUGGCAUGGUGAGGAGAGUGGUCAAUGUCUGAAAUGGAGUUUGAUACUGAAGAGUGCUAGAUGGUGUUCUAUUAAUGAGGUAAGCAGCAGAACAAAGAGCCUCCCCCCAAAAAUGAUGAGGCAUACGGGCCUCAAAUAAAGAGGCACGAACAACCUCCAAGAGAUGACGAUUCUUACGCUCUGCGACGCCAUUCUGUUGUGGUGUAUAGGCACAUGUGGUUUGAUGAACAAUUCCAUGUUGACUUAAAAAAUUAUGUAGGUCAUGGUUGACGUACUCUCCUCCAUUGUCAGACCGAAGCGUAGUGAUUUUCUUGUCAAAUUGAGUAGCAACAUAUUGAUAAAAUAACUUGAAUUUGGCGGUGACAUCACUUUUCUGCUUUAAGGGAAAAACCCAGGUCAUCCGGGUGCAAUCAUCAAUAAAUGUCAUAAACCACUUAAAACCGCUAAUAGUGGGAACUCGUGAUGGUCCCCAAACAUCAGAAUGGACAAUCAUGAAAGGCAAAGAACUUUUAUUCAAUCUUAAUGGGUAAGAAAUACGAUGACUUUUGGCCAAAAUGCAAGUUUCACAAUGAAAGUCUGAUUCAGCAAACUGGGAAAACAAAUCUGGAAAUAAAAGUUUCAGAUAACCAAAAGAAGCAUGACCUAAUCGUCUAUGCCAUAGCCAAAUUUUCUUCAUCCUGAUAGACUCAUCUCCUCUCACAUGAUGUGUCUGACUCAAUCUUGUACUGCUGUCUUCUGUCAAGUCCAGAUAAUACAACUUUCCCCUCCUAGUACCACAUCCAAUCACGGUCCUGGUGAGAAGAUCCUGAAAUAGACAAUACAAUGGCCAAAAACACACGGUACAAUUAAGGGAAUCAAUGAUUUGAGGAACAGAUAACAAGUCAUAGUCGAGUGAAGGGACAACUAAGACAUGAUCAAGACUUAAUGAAGAUGUAAGAGAUAAAGACCCUUCUCCCAUAACUUGGGAGGUGGUUCCAUUGGCACUGGUAAUAUGUGUUUGGCUUGAUGGUUUGGUAGAGUGCAACCCAGUAAAACUAGAUGUCAUGUGAUCAGUGGCGCCAGUGUCAAUAAUCCAUGAUCUAUUACAAGUAAGUGAAGAUGUGCAAGAGGUACCUGAGGUGGCCAAGGCCUUGGAGCCAUAUGUACCUGAUGGAGGUUCUGAUGCAGUCUCCUCGGAUGACUGAGCGAAUGCAAAUGAGGCUCUGGUAGAAUCCUUUUUCCGCGCUUUGUGGACCCAUCCUUCUGGAUAACCAAUGAUCUCAUAACAGCCCUUAAUGGUGUGGUUAUCUAAACCACAUUUGGUACACUUCAUUGGAGGCCGGUUACGAGUAGGGUCGACACUAUAGUUGUUCGGCCGAGAUUGUUUGGACCUUGCAGUAGCCAAGGCUGUGGCUUCGGAGGUUACACCAACUUCAGACAUGGUUCCCUGUCGGUUACUCUCUCUUUUAAUAUGUGCAUAUGCGGCCUCCAGUUCGGGUUUUGGCUCCAUCCGCAAAAUCUCUCCUCGGAUUUGAUCGAAAUUAUUGUACAAACCUGCAAGAAAUAUAUAAACUCGGAGACGAUCAACCUCUUUGCGUCUAGUCUCAAUGUCUUUCGGAUGCUCCAUGGUGCUUGGACUUAAUUGAUCAAGCUCCUGAAAAAUCUCAAUGAGCUCACUGUAAUAUUUGGCAACUGAUGCGCCAGCUUGCUUCAUUAUGAAUGACCGUCUGUGAAGGUCAUAAAUCUUGGCUUCAUCAGCACCAUCUGAAUAGGUUUGCUUGAUUGCAGCCCAGACUUGCUUUGCUGUGUCAUAACGAAUAAAUCGUUUAAUCUGAUUAGGUUGCAUGGCGUCGAACAACCAACUCUUGACUUGGCAAUCCGAUGCACGCCAUUUAUUAAAUGUGGGAUCUGUGUCUGCAGGUUGGGCAAUAUCACCGGUCAAGUGGCCAUGUUUUUCUCGCCCAGCUAUCUUCAUCUCUAUGAUUUGAUGCCAUAGAGAAUAAUUAUUCUCAUCCAGUUUGAUUCCUGCGGAGAAGUUGGAGGUGUCACUCUGCAAAGUGACGAUUUGUGUGGUAGUUUUGGAGCCUCCCGACACCAAGGAUUGAUUGGUGUUUGCUGACCCAUCAUCGUUGGCCAUGAUAUUGGCUGACACCCAAUGAAAAAAGGACAAAAAAGAAAUAUCAAGUUGAGGAAAAGCAAGUGCACGGUGGACAAAGGCAAUAAGACAAACUGUUUUGCAAUAAGAAAUAUUGGGUUGAAAGGGAAAAAAAAAGAACAAUAUGGGAACGGUUUGAAUGGGUCUGUGAGUGGAAAGUGAUUUGCAAUAUUGCAAAACGUGAUUUGACUAGAGGAAAGGUUUGAAUGGGUUUGUAAGAUGGAAUAUGGGUGGUAUUGGUGCUGGGUUUGUGAGAUGGAAUAUUGCUUUUGGUGCUGGUGCUGGUGCUGCGUAAUAGAUGGAAUAUUGCAAAACGGUGAUUUGAGAUGGAAUAUGGGCUGGUGCUGGGUCUGUAUGACGGCUGUUGCUGCGGAAGCGAUUAGGGUUAGGGCAAGAGACAGUCAAGAUUGACUGCUCUGAUACCAUAUCAGAUUGGUAAAAAAUAAUACUUCAUUCUUCUUAAUAUAUAACAAAUAGGAAGGUUAUAUAUACAGAGCCUAGGAAACUAUUCUAGGAAAGUAAUUAUGUUCCUAUAAUCUUGCAUAAUCAAAUAGUUGACUUAGACUAAUUAGGAAUGUACAGCUCAUUGACAGUAAGUAUUGGCGUCGGCCACCAUGGGAGCACAAAAGGAAAGACUGGGAAGACAGAUCUCCCUCCCCAUCUUAAACUGAAAGGUGUGAAUUGAGUGGUCUAAGUGGUAUCCUUUAACGUUCUUGCACCAAUGUUGUACAUGACAAUGCGACCAAACAAUUGUAGAUACAAGACAUCCUCAUUAUUUGGAUCAAAAGCUAGCACCAAAACCCUUUUUGUCCUCCCAUGGUGCUCAUCGUUCCACUUUUUGGUAAGAGGAUUUGCCGAGAUUAAGUCGAACAUGCGAGCUGUGUCUACCAAACACCAUUUUGCAGUCUCCUUGACUUGACCAUGACCUUUCCAAUCCCAAUCCCAAACACCAUGACCAUCGUCUUUCAACUCCCAAACACUCACAGCACCUAGAGUGUGAGCAGGAUCAUCAUGAUCUAAAUUGGUAGAGGAGAAGACGCACAUCCGCAGACACCCUUCUCCUCCUCCUCCACACUCACUUAGGAAGUCAAACCUUCGAGAUUCGAUUUCAGGCUUAUCAAUGUAACGAAAGACAUAUAUACUAUCACCAAGCUGGUCACGAGGAGAGUAGAGAUCCAACCCAAUAGUAAAGCCCUCAACAUCCCUCCACCAAUACAAGCUUCCAUUGUGAGCAACCCCGGGAUAGGGAGCCAAUUUGCUAAAACAAAACCUCCGUGGGUUAUUUACAAGUCCUUUGUCCAUUGACCUGUCUCAGAAGAAAAGAUCUCCAGCUAGAAUUCGCUGGAAACCUCCGGAAAGUCCAAUUUAUCGUCAUUUAUUCGCACAACCUUGUUGUAUGCUAUAGGAUCACUAUAUUAUUGCACAAUUCUUAAAAUAUAAACAGUAGCAAAAUUAUGAAAUCUGUAUGAAUGUGCAAAUAUAUAAAUUAAGUACAGAAACUGACUUUUAUUGAAGAUAGAGGCUUGCGUAUUUGCAAUGUCCUAAAGACAGAAUUUAGCCUCUUCUCAGUGCUUGAAGUUCAACAGGCGUCUAUCUCCCAGGAUUCAACUAUCUAUAAUUCAAGGGUUGGUGUGCCUCUCUCCAAUACAGUUGGUAACUUUAAAAUAAUAUGAGCAGUUAGUAUCCGUUAUACCUGUUCAAAUUCAAACAAAAAGAUAAGUCUUUCUGGUUUGAAUUUAACUUCUGCCAAAGAAAUCCGAAAAAUAAAAAUAAUUAUUUUAUUUUCGGGCUAGGUAUAUUUCUUUUAUUUUCCAGAGACCCAAGGCCCAAGGCCCAAGUCUUGAUUAUUUAAAUAUUAAUAUUAAUCAAGCAAGCCAAUCAUGAUAGUCUUUACUACCAAGCCCAUCAGCCCACCAAUCCUUAUUUAAUUGAUGUUAAGGUUUCAUGCUUAUAAAGCAUAUGGAAUUUUUUGUUUUCUCCAAUGUGGGACAUUUGCUUUCAAACUUCCAACAUACUCAACAUUAAUAAGAUUAUGAUUAAGCUGAAUAUUGACACUCCUCCUACUAGAUCUUUCUAGAUCUGCUGCUUGCUUUCGAUAGUAGGGAUCGCAUAUGAAUCCAACCAUUACGCACUUGUGGCAUCCUCCUGAUCCACGUCGAGGUCCACGUCGGGGGGGAGAGGGAGAGCAUCCCAUUGCUUGGUGUAUGGAUUGCAGAUGUAGUAAUCACGUUGAUAAUACGUGGUUGCACAACACAAAAUUAAAUCAUUAUAUGCUCCUAUCACAACUGGCUCACCUUUAUAAGGAUCAACAAUAUCAGCUUGGAAACAAGGGAGGAAACUCAGAGACAACUCAUGUUCAUGUGGUUGAUGAUCAGGCUCCGAUGACAUGGAAAAAAAAUUUCCUCUCACAUGGUUCAUCUUCAUCGGGCUGCUCCGAUGAUGACGUGGAAAGAAAUGUACUUCUUCUUCUUGUUGUACGCCUUCUAUCCGAGAUGGUUAUAGCACGUGCACGUGCACGUGCAAUGAUGUGGUUUUGGUUGCCACUUUGGAUUUGGAAAUAGUGUCGAAAAAAAUAAGGAUCAAAGAUGAGACUGAACCAACGUUUGGAGACACACAUGCAUCGAGCCGCACACUUAGGAGGGAGUCGGGAAAGAAUUUCUAGCAAAACAAACUCAGGGAGAUCAUCAAGACUAAUAUUCAUGGUUAUGGCUAACUCUUUCGAUAUUGGUUUUUCGGGUGCUCACCUUUUUGAUCUUUUUAAUGGAGACUGAUGAUGAUCAGAGGCUUCUCCAAUAGGUUUGGAUUGGGAUAUUCUACUGCUCCAACUCCUUUUGGUAGCACCAGGUCUCAUCAUGGCGCCGAUUGAUCCGUGUGCAGUUUGACUGACUAUUGCAAUUUGCAGAGAGGAUUUGGGUCUUGAAACAUACAUAGCUACUUAUCCUACUUUUAAUCACUAUAUAUAUAGGAACACAUAUAUAUAUAUAUAUAUAUAUAUAUAUUUUAUUUUUUUUUUUUGGGGGGUCGAAAAUAGGAAAAGAUAUCUAUAAAAAUAAAAAAAAGGCAAGCAAUCACUAAUUAUUAAUUUAUAAAUAGGAAAGAAAUCCUCAUACGAAUAGGAAUUAAUUUAUAAAGGAAAUAUAUAUAUUUUUUUUUUGGGGUCGAAAAUAGGAAAAGAUAUCCAUAAAACAAAUAGGCAAGCAAUCACUAAUUAUUAAUUUAUAAAUAGGAAAGAAAUCCCCAUACGAAUAAGAAUUAAUUUAUGAAGGAAAUAUAUAUAUUUAUAAGCCCUGCAAAUUUGGCAAGUUUUUCAAUAAAGAAAAUGCUAAUCACAAUCGCAAACCGUUGAUUAAAAUGAACCUCAUUAUCGCAGUUUUUACUGAUGCAUGCAUUGAAGGCUGUAUAUCGAAUUUUUAUAAAUUAAUUGAUUACAGACCACACAUAAGUAAUUUCUGAUCGUUGAUGAAAUGCUAGCCCCUCAUGCAUCAAUGGUCUAAAAUCACUUACUCGGGUGAAAGUGACUGACCGUAGCACACCCCAUUGACCUUUUCUUUCUUCUUAUCAAAGUUCAAACUCAAAGUGUUUAUAGUGGGUUACAUAAUGGGCUGCACAACCCUUCCAGAUUGUUUAGUAUUUCUUCGGGCUUGUGCUUUAAGAAUGGUAUUUCUGAGAAAUGUUAAACCACAAGGUAUGGGCAACCACCCAUUGCCCAUUACAAAGAAAAGUCCAUUGGGCUUAAUUGUGGGGUUCAUACUUUACAUUGAAGGGAAUCAAAAUUGAAGUUUAAGAUUAAGACCUACACUUGCCCUCCACUUUCUUGACUGCUUGUGCUUGAUCAGGCAGGCAGGCUGGUGUGUAAGUAGAUUUUUAUUUAUUUAUAGGUCACUUUACAGUAAGAUGCUAAAUAAGUUGAGGAUAGAUAGAGACGGUGGGAGGACACUAUGAUGAAACUGAAAAUUUUAAUGGGGUGGGGAUGAUUAUUACUCCUACAUGCUCUCAUGAGUACUAGGACUGCAAUUGUAUGCCCUUUUGGUGAAAUGGGCCUCUAUAUUCAUAAAGACUACCAAAUUUUCAAGAACAGCUUUUGCUGCUAGAGAACCUGUUGCCCCUAUAUCUGGUCUCAAUUAAUUGGGUUAGUUAGUUCAUAAUAUAAAUGCACGUGAAUGCAUUACUUGGAUGGAUGAGGAAGAUGGCAAGAAAACACACUCAGCUUACUUCUGAUGAAACGGAAUUGAAAGAAAAGAAAGUUUUGGUGAGGUUUUAAAUUGUCUUGAUUUGGCAGGGGACGACCCAUUAGUGUAGUGGUUUGGAGUAAUUGCUCUUGAGGCAAGGUUCUGAGUUCAAAUCCUAACAUCCGUUUUGUGUGUGAGUUUAGUAUAUUAUCGUCUCUCUCAACAAGAAAGGUCCUUCAAAAAAUGUCUUGAUUUGUAGCUAGCUGUGCUCUUUAUUGAAUGAAUAGGUAAUGAAGCUUUAAAACUGGACCAAACUUAACGCUGAAAUUACAAGAUAGCUUUUGCUCCUAGAGGCCCUUCUACCCUCUAUCUGGUCCCAAUUAAGUUGGUUGUUUGUAUAAUAUAAAUGCUUAUUAAUAAUAUACAUGCAUUGGGUGGAUGGUUAAAAAAAACAGAGUUACUCUGUUACUCAAACUUUGAUAGUUCAAUUCCACAGCAUACUGGGAUUAAUUGGAGACGACAAAACUACAGUUAAUAUACCUUCUGGCUUCACAAACGACAUAGAAAUGGAACAUUUUGAGGUUAAAGGUUGAUGCGCGUUGGCAGCUCAGAUCAUGACAAUCAAAUAUCAAAUCUGGAAGUUGAUUUUGUUCUUUUUGCUCCACUUUCUUUUGUGCAAUGUACAGUAUAAGAUGGGCGCAAAGGAAACCCACAUAGCUGUAGUUUUGUGUAUAACCAUCCAAGGAAGGGAAAAAAGAAAAAGUUAUUGGUCAAAAAGAUAGAGACCCCAGCUUCCCCGCAAUUGAAGUUGAAUGACAUUUUGCUUUUUACCAACUAUUUACUCUUGUGGAAAAUGCAUACAGUGCAUGCCGCCUGGUCUGGCCAUAUUGAAAACUUGAAAGCAACCUUGAUCUCAGUCUCCUUCCUUUGUCUUUUACAAUAUGACUAUGAGCCUGCUAGGAGCUAGCCUAGGGCUCAAGGCUUAGGUGAGCGUAGGUGAUGACCUUGUUAUGAACGAGCCUGAAUGAACAAAUAUGAACUAUUUUGCAGAAAUAAGACCAACCAACUUUGCAAAUUAAAGAGUUAAAAUAAGACAAAUGCUCUUAUAAGCAGAAGCUACCAUCAUAUACACUUUAUUGACUGUUUGUUUCAACUCAAGUAGUCCACAAACUUCAGCUUUUUCAAAGCAUGAACAUUAAGCACUUAUGAAAAACCAGAGACAACAGAUACAUAAUUAAAUAAACAUUACAAAAACCCUUCAUAAAAUAUUCUAUUUUUCUUGUGUUUUUAACUCCCACUUGAAUAUAUGAUCUGAGGAUAAAUAUAUCAAACACAGCAAAGCGGUACUAAUCAAAACAAGUCUCAGCUUAUGGCACGAACUCUUCUUCACUCUCUUGGAACUGAUCCUCGUUCUGGUUCACAUUGUUGUUGCCAUAGUUACCCCUGUUGUUGUACCAGUGUCUUGAAUCCACUACCCUUGAAUUUUCAUACUGGUUCUGAUUGUAGUUGUUCUCGCUCUGAGCGUCAUAGUAGUACUUUCCAUUCUCCAAAAACCUUGUGUCACUCAUGCCCUGCUUCUCAGCAUUGUAGUAGUUGUUGCUUUGGUAAUUGGUUGGGGUUGUGUAGCUGCUCUGUGUAAGCCUUGCAUCACUCAAGCCCUGCUUCUCCCCAUUGUAGUUGUUGCGGGUGUUUUGGUAAUUGGUUGGGGUUGUGGUUGUGGUGUAGCUGCUCUGUGUGAACCUUGUGUCACUUGGGUUGCUCUCAAAAUUGCCAUUGUAGUAAAAGUUGUUCUUGUUGGGGCGGUAUUGGGUGCUGUAGGUCUCAGGGUACUUGUUGGUGUGCUGCUGCUCUUUCUCUGACUCAGCUGUAUAUGGCAGGUUGUUGUUGUUGGUGGUGAAUUGUGCACCAUUGGUGGUGGUGUAGGGUGCACCGGUGGUUGUGGUGGUGUAGGGUGCACCGGUGUUUGUGGUGGUGGGAGGCAGCUGGCCAGACUCAUGGCCAUAGAGACCAUAUCCACUUUGGGUCUCUGGAAUGAAGGCUGGCUCUUGCUCUUGCCUUUUCACAGGGGUUUCUGUUUUGGGGACCUCUGUCUCCUUCUCAUAGUUUUUGUUGUUGUUGACAUUGGCCACUUUGCUAAAGAAUUGGCUUUCUCUAGCUUGAGCUUGUUGAGAGAAGAGGAGAGAUGCAAGGAAGAAGAGGAAAGAGAACAAUUUUGCAGCAGAAGCCAUAGUGGCAAGUGAACUUGUUGGGAGGCAGCUGCUGUAAACUGAGUGUAUGUAGUGGGGGAGAGCUAGUGGUAGUCCGUUCUUUAUAUAGAGGACCCUUUUUCUUUUCUCACCCAAAAUUUUCAACUGAUUAGGUGCAAAUGGGCUGGAGGAUGGGUGAUGGUUUGUGGUCCCCAGUGGGGGUAGAACUUCAACAAUAUUGAGUACCUUUCUUUUCCUUUUUUCCAGUUAAUUAGUUUAUUUUGUUUUGUUUUUAAAAAAAGAUAUGCAUAUACACAUUACUUUUUCCCCUUGGAUGCACUUCAUGCUUUCCAUGGAGGAAAACAACAUAAUUAUCUGCCAUUUUUCUCUACUAAAAGCCAGCCAGCCAGUCUGCUCAUUCUGAACUUGCUUAACAUUUAGCUUAGAUGACCCAUGAUUUUUCUUUUCUUCUAAGCAAAUCAAAAUAUGAUAAGAUAAAUUAGAAUAAAACCCAGCUAGCAGAAUUAACAAGAAAUAUGGAACUUUAAUUGUGGGUGUUGAUGGUGUUCCCUAAAGUUGAGGGAAAAAAAAUUAAAAUAAAGAGGCAGCAACCACAAAGGAUAAUUUGGAAAUUAACUACAUGGUGCCAAAGAUGAACCAGGACAUUGAGGUGGCCGUCUAAUUAUGCGUGGAUUGUGGAGUGGGUGGGGCAUGCAUAUAUAAUAUCAUAUGGUGCACGCAGCACGCAGCACGCAGCAUGUGCCCUCUUUGCUCGGUCAAAUUUAAGAUACGUAUCUAACCUCUACUGAAAAAGAAAGAGUACUCAAGACUGAAACACUCAUGUUCUAAGUCCCUGUCAUGUUUUAGAGUUGUGCUACCGUCAGUCCCGUUGAGUGCUUGACGCGUUCUCAGCUGUUGAUGAGUGCACUGAAAGCCGAAACUUCAACCUUGUUCUGGUUCAGCUCAUUUACUGCUUCCCUGCGAUUUAAACCAGUAUUAGUAAUGUCUUCUUCUGUUAGUUGGAAUAUUUAAGUUGCAUAACCAAAACCUAGUAGACGGACAGAUAGAUAAAUACUCGAUACCAAUCUCAUUCGAUAUAGGGGUCCAAUUGGUGAAUAGUAGAUAGAUACUUCACAAAAAUCUCAUCUGCUAAUAUGUAGAUGCCACUAUGAUCCCAACUACUGGGUCGGUCCACUACUAAAUUAUGAAAUUUGUCAACAGAGGAGAGAAAUAAUAAAGAUGAUAUUGAAAUUUCCUGUUGGUUAGGAUUUGUUAAAUUUCCCAACUUCUGUCACAUUUAAUUUUUCUAAAGGUCAUUUUUAAAGGAAAAGAGAGGAAGGUUAAAGAAGCUUCGAUGCCUACAUGAGCCACUAGCCCCUGUCCUCCCACAAAAGACUCAAAGCAUUACUUCUAGUUGCAUCAUGAAAGCCGAAGCAAGGGAAGAAAGAACAGGUACAUGCUAUCAUUGAAGUUGAUUUUGGAAAGCAAAAGCGUGUUAGCACCUUCCUCUGAAAAAGAGCUUAGUCUUAAAGCAGUAAAAAAAAAAAAAAAACCUUUGAAAAAGCAGCCCUUUAGGUUAACUUAUAAAUCUCACAUUAUGUAAGUUGUUUUUUUCCUUGUAAUUAUCUUAAACUAAGUUUGUUUUUUUUGUUAUAUUGGAAGGAAAAAAAUUACUAUGGAGUUUCGAUCUUGAGUGUCAAGCAGAGAGGGUCACAACCACUGUGAUAACUCCACUCGACAUUUUAAAACCAAGUUUACUUAAGCCUUGGUGAGAUUUUCAACAGUCUCGGUGAGUGGUUAACUUACCCAAACAAAACAACCAACAAAGUGAGACUUUUAAAAAGAUAAACAAAACAUAUAGUAGCCUCCCUCAUCUCAAGGCAUCCAAGAGGCAAGAGGACCAAGAUCCAAAUUUCACAUCAAGCUUUCAUGUGGCAUUCCAUUUGGUGAUUGAAGUUUGCAUGUGGCAAGUAAGUCUUCAAUGUUUGGUUAUAGCAGUUGCAGAAUUAAAGCACUUGAUUGAUAGAAAGGGUGGGGGCCAUUGUCCUUUUCUUCUCUCUCCUCAACCUCCUUCCUCAAUGGAAAAUGGGGUUCACCCACCAACACCCCUCUCUUCCUCACUCAAAGCAAUAGACAAAGGAAGAUGCUUUUGUCAACGUUUGUGCUUCACAAAGCAGCCAGAGCCUUUUCUUUUUCUUUAUAUUUCUUUUCAUUUUUCUUUUUAUUGAAUUAUGUGAAAUUUGUUGCGCGAUUAGCGGAAGGAAUAGUUUCAGCCUUUCCAAUACGUUUUUUCUUCUCUCUUUUUUUCUCUGUCCUUUCCUUUUGUUUCUCUUGCAGACUUUGAGUUUUGAACAAAAAUUAGUGGGAGCUCAAAAUUAAUAAUACAUUUAUCUGUAAAAGACUACUGAUUUCAGCUGAAAGCUAGCUAGUAUAAAAAGUUAUAAACUCAUUAUUUUAUAUAUAAAUAUAGAUAUAUAUAGAAAAAAGAAGCAUUAAUAAUAAAACAUAGAUUUCUCAAAGACCCAGAUACAAGAAGAGUAAGAUAAGAUGUUAACAACAGGAACCACUUUUAAUUUAAAGAAAUGGGUUCCAAAACAGAAGAGAAAGCAACAAGAGAUUGGGAACCAAAAUAGGAAGCACAGGAUUAACAUCACCCCCAAGGCGUUUUCUUCUCAUCCUCUUCCUAAAAUUCUCUCUCCUCUGCUCAUCACCCCACUGAGCUUCCUCUAUUCCUUUUGCAAGAAUCAAUGGCGGGGGCAGGUGAUAAGGGCAUUUGGACCUCCAAGAAGUCUCAGGAAACCCAAAUCUGGAGACCCUUUUGAGGAAGAGAGAGAGGCCCCAUUGUAGAUGGAUAGGAGGGAAGGUGGAUUUGGUGCAGAGGACUGGUGGGUAGUCCCAGUUUAGGUAGCAUGGGAUUUGGGUGGAGAUGAAGAACUGAGAGUGAAGAGGUGGUGUGGUUGUUGGGUUGAUUAGGACAUGAGUUAAGGCAUGGAGCCUUUGCUCCCAUGUCGUGUCUUCCAUUUUUUUCUUACUUAUCUCUAUCCCAAGAAUCAAGAUGAGGUUGGUUGACUUGAGAGGUGGUAGGCGCUAGGCGGCCGCCUAGGCGGUCCUCCUUAUUUUUCCGGAAAUAUAUUUAAAGAGUAUAGCCGGGCGGCUAUACUCUUAAUAUGUAUAUAUACAUAGAGUUCUUUAUUUUAUUUUAUUUUUUUGGUUUGAAAAGAUGUUUUAAAGGUUAAGCUCAAUUCUUUUUCUUUUAAUUACAUAAUCUGUUAGAUUAGUUAAAUUUCUAAUAGCACUAGUAUUCAAACUUAAGAAAAAUAUGAAGUUAAUACCUUGGUCCUUAUUUAGAAAAUAAAAUUAAUAACUACAUUGCUGCGAGAUGAUUUGAAUUUUAUGAAAUGUGGCCAAUAAGAAGAAAAGAAUUUUAUUGAUUAUAAAAUCAGUGGUCUUUUUUCUCUUGGGUUGAAAGUAGAAUCAGCGUUCUUCUAAACUGAAGGCAUCCUCAAAGAACACGUUACAUCCCUUGGUCGUUUUUGUAAAACUCAAUAAAUUGUAAUCGUGCAAUUUACAGCUUAAAGUCUUUACUUGAGGCUAUAGGUAUAUAGCCUGUAGUUAUUACACUUUGAAUUGCAAUAGAACUACAUAUACACAAGUAGUGGUGGCUGUCUCUAUAGUACCCUCUCAUUGCCACAGGCUCACAGCUCCUUAUCUGGAACAGAUAUGCUAUUAGAAAGCUUAUUGACCAUUGAUUCAAAUCUGUAAAAUGUUGCUACUGGGGUGUGGAUGAGGGUGAGCUAGCCAUCAGAAGGGAAUCUGCAUGGUUCAAUUCCCCAAGUCUUCUCAGCGUAGUCUCGGAUUGUUCUGUCGCUGCUAAAUCUCCCCGACCCGGCCGUGCUAAGGAUGCUCAUCUGAGUCCACUUACUUGGAUCCGCAAAUGCUUUAUCAGCAGCAGCCUGUAGUCAUAUAGAUUCAAAUCCCACGCACCAUAGUAAAGUUAUACAACACCAAACUCAAACUGCAUGUAUAUAUGUUUUGGGUUGGGACUGCCAAGUAAACAGAAAUAAUUACCUGAGCCUCUAAAUAGCUUUCAAAAUCAGAACCAACCAAAUAGAAGUCUUUACCACCGUCCACAGUAUCACAUAGAGAUUCAAAAUAGUCUUUAAAGCCGAAAUAGCCAUCUCGGACCAUCCUACACAUAAUAAAUAUCACAGCAGAAUUAGAACCUGAGGAAACAGUUUGCUCAGAACAACAUCACACAAUGGUCAAAAACGACAUCAAACACAUGCCCUCUAAAGAACCUGAAAAUUCUAGACUGGUCACCCCAAUCACUAACUGGCUAAGUGAGUAUGAUUGAUUGAAGUGACUGUAAUUGCAUACCUUAUAACACGUGCACAUUGCAGUGGCAUUUUAGGAGAUCCUUCCUCACGCAAAUUGGGAACUUCAUGAAUCUUUGCCCCGAACAAAAACUGGAGAAAGCAAGUUCUAAGAGAAUUAUCUCUGCUAUACUACAAACAAGUAUAUACCAAUCUAAAAUCUUGAAAUAGUCAAUACACAGAUUCCAUCUGGCAAGAAGUUCCAGCAAAAGCAAAUUUCAGUUGGUCGACAAUACUUGACAUCACAAUCAGCUAAGCUGAAUUCAACUAUAUUAAGUUGGCUACAUAAAUCUCACUCGGACUUUCCAUUCUCUACGGAAGCUCAUGUUAUGUUCAGUCACACGCUGUCUAUCUUUAGAGAAGGUCAAAGAUCAAUUCAUAUCACAGUGGUAUGCUUGUAUAGUUUUAUAUAAAAUUUACCAGGUUGUCUGCUCCUAUUUCUUCAACAAUUUCAACUGUAGAGCCAUCUUCUGUAGCUAAGAGUAAACAUCCAUUCAUAAGAAAUUUCAUGCUUCCAGUUCCAGAGGCCUCGUGUCCUGCGGUGCUGCAAAGGAAUCAUCACAAGUUGAGAUAUCAAAUAUGAAAACCGCAAUAACAUUGAAGUUUGGCCAAGAAACUCCAAUAAGUAUAUGGAAAGAUUGUGUUUUUUGGGGUUUCAUCAAAUUUAGAUGCUGCAAAGUUUACAAACCUUAUAUGCUGUGAAAGGUCAGCCCCAGGUAUUACCAAUUCAGCAACAGAUACAUUAUAAUCAGGAAUAAAAACCUGGAAUAACAGAGAAAUCACAUCAAAUAGAAGAUAAUUGUAUCCAUAUGUAGAGUGAAAAACCAGAGAUUUUAACUCAUGCUAGUUCCUCUCAAUAUUUGUACAAAACCAGAUAGGAAGAAUGCAUGUAAGGAUGCAUAAUUCUUUCUCUUACCAACUUCAGAAGAUCUCCGACAUCAGUGUCAUUAUUUAUUUUUUCUGCUACAGCAUGACAGAGUUUGAUAAUCUUCUUGGCAAUCUCAUAACCGGGAGCAGCUUUUCCUCCAAUAAUGCAGACACGAGGUACAACCUUACUCCUUUGACUUUUCUCCAUGUUCUGCAGCAAAGUGCUCAUCUUAACAAGUGGGGGCAAAGAGGAAAGAAAGCUCUUACCAAAAAAGAAAAAACAUGAGAAGAAAGCUCCAACUCCACAUCAUAUCUCAUUGAAAAAUCAACAAAUUACUGUCCAACAACUUCUUAAAUUACUGUGACAAGAAGACGAAAAAGGUAUGCACAAUACUGGAGGAUGGUGAUAGCUCCCUUAAGAAGGUAUAAGGUAGUUCUUUGUUAAAAAGUUAUAAAAUAUAGAAUGCAAAGUUCUUCACCAUAUAAAAUCAGAUUCACCUUGAUACAGUCAUAUCGAUGGAUAAUGCCAAGUAUAUUAAGCAGCUGUCUUUUGUACUCGUGUAUUCGCUUUGUCUGCACAUCAAACAUUGCAUCUAAACUAACCUGCAGUUGAAAGUGAUAAAUUUCAGUGUAAUCUAUUAGACAUAUCUUCUAGACAAAAGAGAAAAGAUGAACAGGAUAGAAGUUCAAAGAACUUGUGACCAAACCUUCACACCACUCAUCGCUUCAAUGUACUCAGCGAGCCUCAUUUUGUUAACCUUCUUAACCUACCACAUGAGCAUAUAUACAAUAAUAUAAUACAAACAAAGCCAAAAGCAUAAUAUAUUUUUGGUUCCUAAGCAGCUGUACAAAUAUCAAGCAUAGGGAGUACCAUCAUCCAUUCUUGUUGAAGGUCAGGAUCGGCUGCAUAUGCUCGCAAGCCAGUUAGAAGGUCAACAUCACGAAUCCAAGCUUCUGUUCCAAGCCAUUUUGAGAUAAGAGCACACAGGCUAGGAUUACUCACCACAAUCCAGCGGCGCUGAGAAAUCAAAUGUCAGUACAUUAUCACAUACAUGCUUAUAAAUUGUAUACUGCUAAGAAUAAUGAUGAAUCCUGAUUCAUCGAUGCAUCAUAAGAACAACCUUUGAAUAUGUUAUGAGCCAUAUAAUAACAAUAAUAGUAAAACUAUACGCACAUGUAUGUAUGCAUGUAUAUGCACAAAUAGAAAACCUCUCAGACCAAGAUUACAAAUUGUACAGGAAUCUAUUCUAAGUUCCACAGCAUCAUGCAUCCAUUUAAGUGGUCACCAACAGACAGCAUCAGAGUCAAACAUUAAUUAAGACAUAUUAAAACUGCAGGAGAGGUUGAUGCAUCCCAAUUUACUGCUCAACUGGGGUGGUUUAAAAGCUUAAACUAUGUCGAACACUCUGCUUCAUAAGCCCUAACACCACAAACUACAAAGGCCAUCAGAACCCAUCUUUGGAGGUGUGUAUCUCACCAUUCUUCUUCAACCACAUAAACAGAUUGAAAAGUCUAAUGAAACUAGCAAGUACUUUAUGAAAGAUGCUAUGAACUUUAUACCUGGGUAACACCAUUUGUCUUGCAUUGAAAUUUCUGAGGCCACAGCUCAUAGAAGUCCUGUGAAAGAGGUGUCAGAUGACCUAAUUUAAGGUAUCAUAAGAAUUUGGAUAUCUUCAACUUUGUCAUAAGACAAGGGAAAAGACAACGAUGCAAGGAACACAUAGUACCUUGAAUAAUUUUGCUUUUAGCAAUUCUGAAUGUACUUCAGAAACACCAUUCACAGUAUGGGAGCAUACAAUCGCCAGGUUUGCCAUUCGGAUACUCUGUCAAAUCAAAUGGUAAUUAAAGGUCAAAUUGCUAAACAAACAUUUUCUCAUCAAGAAGACCAAAGAAUCCUUAAUAAACACCUUAAGAAUGUACUUUUGAAAGGGGAAAAAUAAGCCAAAAACUCAUUUAAGUACAAAAGACUGCCUUGCAGAGAUUUCCAAAUGCCCCGUUUUCUAUGCUCUUCUUUUGUUAUGUCAUCAUUUAAGAGAGAUUAUGCAUAGGAGACAUAAUAUGGUUGCAAGAAUAAGCACAAUGGUGUACGGAUUAACUGUAGAGUUUACAAAAUACUACAGAUAAUACCAGAUGCCAACCACAAUUGUAAGCCCAGAAUCAUAUAUCUAUCAAGAAUACAAUCAAAUAUACCAUCAAAUACAAUAUGGUUUUAAACAUACCUUCACAGCGCCUUCCUCAAUAAUUGACAUUCGGGAUAGCCGAUUGUAAUCUAAACCAAUCCUCUUCUUCAACUCUUCCACAAACUUAAAGUUUAUUUCAUAUAUAAUCUGGAGCAAUAAAAACCUUACCACAAUGAUUUGAGUGACAAAAUAAUAAUCUCAUAAAAUAACGGCUAUUGAACAGAUAAUUCUAUUAUAAUUAGUUUAUAAGGUUGCUUCAGUAUAAAGGAAAGCAUAACAAUCUGAUGGAAAUAGAACUCCAGGAGUAAAGAUGAACUGAUGCACGAAUUGAUACAAAUUUCCAAAAACCUAGCAGACCACUAUCUUGAUGUAAAUUUGUAAUAUAUAUGACAAUUAAAUCAAUAUUUCUUCAUGUCAAAAAAGAGUCUUUAGAAUCGCACUUGUAAAUGGCGUGGGAGAAGACUGCCCAGUAAAUCAACAGGGAUUUUCUCCAACCCUUCAGCAAUUACUGCGUGUAUUGUGAACGAAAAGAUUUUGCAAGCAAUGUCCCACGCUUUAUUCCAACCCAAAUGCUCUUUAUCAACAAGCACUCUCAUGACCUCAGCUAUCGCAAGAGAUGGGUGAGUAUCAUUGAGCUGCAGAGCAACCUAAUUAAGACGAGGAAAAAUGAGCUGAGGAAAAAAGGAAAAACAGAAAAGCAAACCUGAAUGACUAUCAGAGGAAAGUAAUAUAUAUAAAAGUUCAUUGUAGCUAAAACAAGCUGCCAUAUAGGGUAAUAACAUGGUUUUUUCCCUGGAAAUCAACAUAUGAUAAAACGCAGAAUAUUAAGACUUGGACCUUCUCUGGAAAUUCAUCAAAGUUACUGUGAGCCUCUUUAAAUCUCCGAAUUAUGUCUUGUAUGGAUGCUGAGACAAAGAAAUAUUGUUGCUUCAAUCGCAGUUCCUUCCCCUGUAAUACAAAAUAAAGUGAAAAGGGAAACAUACUAAGCAACAAAAUGAGAAUAUACAUGAGUCAUCCCCAUGGAAACCACGUAACUGAGUUCAUGACUUUUCUCCAAACUUCUAAGAAGGUACAUUUUCUCAGAAACAUGCAGAUAAAAAAAAAAGAACAAUAUUGAUAAAACCAUCUUUCUUUUCUUCAAAUAAGUAAACAUGAUUUACAACAUAGUGCUGGAAAAGAAAGAAACUAUCAUGUACCCAAGACUUCAAAGAUGUUUAAUGUUUACAAGGUGGAUAGAAACGCAGGGAAAUAACAGCAUGAUUAUUGUACUCCAAAAUCCUAAAGUUUGAGAGUUCAAGCUAUCCAUACAAUUCUUAUACAGAAUGCUAGAUAACAAUAUGUUGAUAAACUGUCCCAGCAUCUAUAAAAACCUUAAUGAUAGGCAUAAUGGAAAAUCUUCAUCUCAUUGAAGUAGCCAGUUUCUGCAUGAACAUAUCAUCUUUUGAUACAAUACAAUACAUAUUCAAAAUAUAUUAUAAAUAAGAAAUAAAUAACAGCAUUAAGAAGAAACAAGCACACCUGAAACGAACGGUCAUCAGGGUACAAUACACUACUUAUAUUUUCUGCUUUCUGUCUACAAACAACAGCAUUGAUGUAAUCUCCAGUAUUAUAAGCUUCCUGCAUGUGCGGAUCAUUGCAUAGAAAAAUUAGUCUCACCUAAAAUUUUUAGGAGGCAAGAGAUGGAUUCUAUUGAAACAUGAACAAUUGGAGGAGAGAAUACUGUAGCUACUCUUUCAUUUAGGAUUUCCGUGGGAUAUUGAUUAAAAACGCAUUUCUGGAAAUGCAUAAUGUUUAAUGGUAGUAAAAAAUUACCAUAUCAUGUUGAUCACUUGGUUUUCCAGCCCAUAAACGGAGAGUAAUAGUAUUCCUUGUUCCAUAACCAGGUAUGGGAUUAUCAUAAGCCACAGCUUCUACCUAGCAGUGUGGAGACAAACCACUAAGCUGAAAUAACCAAUUAUAUUCAUCAUGUUUACAAGAUGCAAUCCAUCUUGCAUAUAUGAAUUAAACAAUAUCAAAGGAUUUGUAGAACAAAUGCAGCCUUAAUUAAUGGAAAAAGAGUUUAUUGUCUUACCACUUCUCCAGGGAUCCAAACAUUGCAUUUUUCUCCAUUCAAAUUUUCCUCUUCAACGACCCCAUAGAACUUAUCCAUGUUAAUAAUUAAAAAACAGAAGUUAGCAAAAGGUUUUGAAGUUUUAGGAGAUAUAAUGAAUAUCAAAACAACCUCAAUUAUUCAAUGAGCACUUUAAAAACAGGAGUAGUACUUGCACACCUUCACUGGAUACGUUACAUGAACCCGCUCUGUUUCCCAAGGAUUUCCAAAGUUCAACCAGAAAUCGGGUUGUUCAUGUUGGAAGCCAUCCAGUAUAACCUGGCGGAAUAAUCCAUAUUCGUAACGUAGUCCAUAACUGCAAAUUGAAGAUGCAACAUCACCAAAUUACAUCCCAUGUAAGAAAUUGUUGGCAAAAAACUAGUUCCAUAAUAAAAACGGUGUGGAGUUUUCAUAUUGAUUAAUAAGUUUAGUUCUCAAAGCCAUUAAGCAUGCACAUUAUUAUAACGCAUAAUAUAAGUGAGGCACAUUUGAGUUCUGAGUUCUCUCCAGAGACUGCUUCUAUUCUAAUUUAUAAAGUGUAAAGAAUCACGCCUGCCGCAUUUUUUUAUCAAGUGGGAAUAAUAUGCUAUACAUUAGGGGUAACCCUCACUUGCCUAGACUUCACUGUCUUGGAGGAGGAAAGAGACCAAAGAGCUAAAAGGGACCGUCAUCCUAGUAUUAAAGACAAAAAUUUGAUGGGAGUAUAAUGAAUUAGAUUAUUAUAUGCUAACAGAGAGUCAGCAUACCCCCAUGCAGGAUAGUCCAAAGUUGCCAUAGAAUCCAUUUGGCAAGCUGAAAGACGAGCUAGGCCACCAUUACCAAGGGCAGCAUCUCCUUCCUUGAAACAUCAGGAAAACACUUACCAUAGCAGAAUAAAUUGCUAAAUUAAGUAUAUAUUCCAUGGUGUGCAUGGUAUAUAUAAGAGAUCAUAAUGGGGGAAUGACAUCAGCAAAAGAAAAAGGUGUAUACUAACUUGCUCUGCCAAAACUUCAAACUCAAAACCAAGCUGGCUUAAAGCAUCUGCAUAUUGAUCCCGGAUGCCAAGGUUGAUGACACUAUUUGACAAGGAACGACCUGACAGCUCAGUAACAAAUAGCAUUUCAGCGGCAAGCAAGCAUUACAUCAAGGAAAAUAUACACAGCACUAAAUUGGGAACUCAUGGAAAACAAGCAGUCACUUCAGUACAAGAUCAAAAUGAAACAUUAUCAAUUAGUCUAGAGAGGCUUGAGGUUAACAGACACUAGCAUCAUCCAAAGUCCAUAGAUUGUAUAAAACAACUCUGAUGGAAGUACAUAAAUACCCAUAAGAUACUCAAACGAGAGGAAGUAUACGCGCUUAGGGUCUUUCCUCUUGAAGUAAAGCUGCGUAUCAUGCGAACGUUCAAUCAACCGGUCUCUUACACUAUGCGCCAAGGCCUGCAAAAUAAUCAUAACAAGCGUAAAUAAAUAUGCAAACACUUGAUAACUACAAUAAAACUCAGGGAACCCAGAAUAAUGAUAAAUGACGAAAAUAAAGAACAUUUCCCGCCAAAUUUGAGAACAUUCAACUGUGCCCUGUUAUGCAAAUUUUGGAAACCACAAAAUCAAACUAUUGAAAAACAUAAGCCCAAAGAUUACUAUAAGAAAACAAAAUUACCUGAUAAGCUUCAAAAUCAUCGAAGUUAAAGCGGGACCUGGCAACCGUGUACUCAACGUGACGAAGAAUAUCCUGCUGCAGACUAAUGGAGUCAUUUUUCAAAAACCCAUCCAUUAGCCUGAACAUCCUUUCAGCCUUGGCACUAUCGGAGCCCAAGCUCAUGCCCAAACCCGACCCGGGCCUGCGGACCAUCACACCUCUCGUGGUGGGACUGGCGGGACCCAUCGAGACCGUACCACCGUCUUCGAUGGCGUCCGUCAGGGCCUUCUUGAUCCUAUCGAGGCUAUCCGGGUCGGCGAUUUUCGCGCCAUGAGAAUCGGUGACGAAGAAUCUUUUGACGAAGAAGUCGCCUUCGAACUCGACGGUAGCUUUUUCAACGUGGAGGCCGAGGACUUUGAAGACGCCGGUGAUGACCUGGAGGAGGCCGAUGCGGUUUCGGGCUCGGAUCACGAAGAGCGUGCAGGACGGGUCGGAUUCGGACUCUGAGUUCUCGACGGUGACAGAUGAAGCGGCGGAGGGCAGCUGGCUAGCGGAGGCGCGUAUGGGUUUGGCAACAUGAGUGCGGCCGUAUAGGAUCGAUGAUCGCGAUGACCGUGAGAAGCUUCGAGAAUGAGAGGGAAAUAGAGGGAACAGAAAGGUGGAGGAUGAAGAUGCGAGCUUAGAUUGGUCAGUGAUGGUGAAAAGCCUUGAAGAUAGCGUCAACAUUGUAGAAUGCGGGGAUUUGGAGGAAUCACAUUCGCAUGUGGAGAAAGACUCUGGUAGGGAGAGCUUCGGGGUUUGGAGGUGGAAGAAGAAGAAGAAGAUGGAGCUUUGAGUGCAAUCACAGUGAGUCUGUGAGUGACUGACCGUGAUAGUAGGGAAAAGGGACUUUCUGGACUUUUCACUUUUGGAGGGGACAGGGUGAGGAUACCAAGUGGACAGCCUCAUUUUCAUACGGUGAGGCUUCGUAUUCUUUAUCGCCACCUAUAUUGAUUUUUGUUUUUAUGUAUGUGAAUAAAAAUGCAAUAUAUUAGGCAAUGGAAUUCGUCCCUACAGAAAAAAAAUAUCGAAAUUUGGUCCAUGUUUACUUUUGAAGGAUGGAAGAAGUCAUGAAUGGGAGAAUUUAAAUGGAAUAAUCAAGAGAUGAGAAUUAGAUUAACUACUUUUCUUAUGAGUGCGGUCGAAGUUGAUUUCAUUCUUGAUUUUGAGCGUAUUUGAUUACAGAUUGUAGUUGAUUUCAUUCACUAUUUUGAGGGUAUUAAUUACGAAUUUUAUUAUAAAACUCAUAUAAUUUUUUAUUCCUUAUACGUUAAUAGAGAUAUAGAAAGUUAAGAAUUGAAAUCAUUCCAAUUCACAUAUGUUAACAAACACGUAGAAUUUGAAUUAUUUCAAUACCUAUUCAUGAUCGCAGCACCGCAUGUGUCACAAUUGCAUUGCAUCUAAUGAGAAGAGCAAUGGGGUUGAAUGUGGGCGAUGAAUACGGGCAAAAGAAGGGUCGUCCCAUUGGUUUUGGCAAAAGGCAAGAAAGAUGAACAGCAAGCACAUCCCUUCCUUCCACCGUCGUACUUGCAUAAUUGCAUUGCACCCUCCACAGUCACGACUCACGAGCCCCAAAGCCCAAAAUUAUUCACAGCACAGCAAUGCACGAAGCCACCUUUCCACCUCCCGCCAGCCGUCACACUCACACGUGUCUUUUAUUGGGCUCAAGAAUUUGCCACCUCGUUAUGCUCUUUUACCAUACUGUAAAUUUUAGAUGCCACGUGACUACAAAACCACACAGUAAAGUAAACUCUCUAUCUGGAAACUUCCACACCGUUCUGGUUCUUUCGACAUAUUGUUUCUCUUUCCUUCGAAUUCCAGUGCCACUUUCCUUAAUAAGAGCAAAGCAUCAGUUUGCGAACAUACCCAAUUAUAAAUUUUGAUAGCCUUGAAGAAUUUGAGCAAUUCAUUGAGUUUUAAAAACGCUAGCACCUGUCUGAAGAGCAGGAAGAUAUGGGUGUGGAUUACUACAAGCUUUUGCAGGUUGACAAGAACGCCACAGAUGACGAUUUGAAGAAAGCUUACAGAAAGCUGGCCAUGAAAUGGCACCCUGAUAAGAACCCCACCAAUAAGAAAGAAGCUGAAGCGAAAUUCAAACAGAUCUCUGAGGCCUAUGAGGUUGGUCUUGUCUUCACCCUUAUCUUCCUUUUCUUCGUUCACCUAUUUUCUUUUGGUUAUUGUUGUUGUUGUUGUUGUUGUUGUUGUUUUUUACUUUUUAUCAUCUGGGUUUUAUACCUCUAAGCAAAUCCCACAUGUUCCUCACCUCCUUUUCUAUUUAAGUCUCAUUGUAUAAGUUAAAAUUUCCAUCUUUUAUAUUUAAAUUUCCUCAAAUGACAGAAAGAUUCCAUCUUUCAUCGUUUUCUAGAUGGUGUACGAAUGCCAGAGCUUGGAAUCUGAUAUUGUGUCUUUUGAAUUUAUAGGUUCUGAGUGAUCCCCAGAAAAGAGCAAUUUAUGAUCAAUAUGGAGAAGAAGGCCUAAAAGGCCAGGUGCCGCCACCAGAUGCUGGUGGUCCUGGUGGAGCUACCUACUUCCAAACUGGGGAUGGUCCAAAUGUCUUUAGAUUCAACCCCAGAAAUGCCGACGACAUUUUCGCUGAGAUUUUCGGGUUCUCAAGCCCCAUGGGUGGAAUGGGAGGUGGAAUGGGAGGUGGAGGAGGUGGUGCUGGUAGUGGCAUGAGGGGUACAAGGUCCUUUGGUGGACUGUUUGGAGAUGACAUGUUUAGCUCAUUUGGAGAAGGCCGGCCCAUGACUCAGGCUCCACGAAAAGCUUCACCGAUAGAGAAGAGGUUGCCAUGUAGCCUUGAGGAGCUCUAUAGGGGGACUACUAAGAAGAUGAAAAUAUCAAGGGAAAUUGCAGAUGCAAGUGGGUAAGUUCCUGCUUAUCAUUCAGUUUUAUAGAACGUACUUGUUUAAUUUAUUUUAUGACUUGUGCAUAAUCAGUUAUUCAUUCAUUUGACAAUUUCAGAAGUUUCUGUAAAAAGGAUGUCAGCAGUUUUCUGCAUUCCAAUUUUAGUUGGACUUUAUUUGAGUUGAUCUGUUUAUUGUGUUCUUAUCUUUUGAAAAGGAAAAGAAAAAGGAAUAUAAGUGAUGCGACCAUCCCAUUUCCCUGCUGUUGAUUGAAUGAUUCGUUAUUCAUAUUGCAAGUCAUGUGACCAAUCUAUCUAUUUUCUGGUUAGUGACCUUACUUAUCAUGUGAUGCAGGAAGACCUUGCCAGUGGAGGAAAUUCUAACCAUAGAAAUCAAGCCUGGCUGGAAAAAGGGAACAAAAAUCACCUUCCCAGAGAAAGGGAAUGAGCAAGGAAACGUAAUUCCUGCAGAUCUUGUGUUCAUAAUUGAUGAGAAACCACACAGCACAUUCACAAGGGAUGGCAACGACCUUGUUGUCACACAGAAGAUCUCCCUAGCAGAAGCUCUCACGGGCUACACAGUCCAUCUGACCACACUAGAUGGAAGGACCCUCGCCAUCCCCAUCAACAAUGUCAUUCAUCCAGACUAUGAGGAGGUUGUCCCUAAAGAGGGUAUGCCCAUACCUAAAGACCCAUCCAAGAAGGGCAACCUUAGAAUCAAAUUCAAUAUCAAGUUUCCGAGUAGGUUGAAUUCUGAACAGAAAGCCGGAAUUAAGAAACUUUUGGCGGCAUGAUUUGAUUUCGGGGCAUGAUUUGAUUCGAGUCAUUCGAUCCACCAUGCGCCAUGCGAAUCUUCUGGGAUCUUCUGGGACGGUUGUGAAUAUGUUUUUUGAGAUGGCCUGGAUUUGUAUAACUAGUUAGUCUUUGUAAGGUUAAACAUUUGUUUGCCCCACAGAUGUAAGCUGGUCAAUUCUAGCUUGGAAGAAGCAGCAAAUAAAGCUUAGUUAUGUUUUCUAGAAUUUAAUCUUGUUCAGUGAUCGCAUCACACGAUUGUCUCCAAUAUAAAUGACCCUUUCUCCAAAAUUGAGUUGCUUGUUUAAAAAUGGGAAAAUAAAAAUGAGAAAAAACUAUUAUCAAAAUAUCUUCAAAUACAAUCUUCCAUGAAUAUAACUGAAAUAUAAAAGAUAGGAUCUUUGCAGUAUAACUUGCUCAUCUUUUUCAUUAGGUAAAGGUUUGUUACACGCUUAAAAUGACUUACAUGUUACACUGCAUAACUACUGCAGGACCUCUAUCCAGUACUUCUAUCCAGACUACUGCUAAAAAUGUAAUCCAUAAACAGGGAAAGUUUAAAAUAAAAGGGAGGCUAAUAAUAAUAAUAACAAUAAAAAGAAGAUUUGGUGGGGCAAUAUUGAUUCCAUCACCAGGAUAGGAUGAGCCGCUAGUGAAGCUGCAAUAUCAAAAAUUAUAUUGCAGCCAGUAUAUCUGGGAUGCUUGCACAAAGGCAGUUCAGGUUUCAAACUUCAAUCACUAUAGUCAUCUGAAACUGCAGAAUCUGAGCCAUCAUCAUUUGUAAUCUUGUUUUGUAUUUCAUCCGAGGCAUCACUCAUAUCUACAUCCCCCUCUGAAUCUUCAUCUCUCACUUCUUCAAUGCCAUUAUUGUCAUCUUCAGAAGCAUCCAUAUCCUCAUCACUUGCUUCCAGUAAACCCUCGUGCCAUCCGCUGGAAGUCCCAUCAAAUCCAGUUUCCCAGUUUCCUUGUUCAUAUCCCACUGCUUGGUCAUCGUCUUCAGAUUCCAAUGCCUCUGCUUGUUCAUAUCCCUCUCUUUGUUCAUCACCUUUCAUAUGGAUCAUAUCUAUCUUUUCAUCAUCCCAUUCCUCACCCAAGUUUCUCGGGGAAUCCCCUCCACUCUCAGGGCUACUGCGUACGUCAGUCAUGCGGCCCAGAGGUGUCCCCUCAACAACCCUGUCCUUUGUUCUCCUCUUUCUAACAGUUCUGCGACCCCGUGCACUCCCUUGUCCUUGUGUUCUUUUCCCAACCGGUCUAAACCCUUGACUUAGAUUCCCACUACCCUUUUGCCGACUUGCACCAGAUUUGGAAUUAUUCACUUUUCUCUGCCACUUUUUACCGCGCCCUUGCUCACGACCUCCCCUACCACGUCUAAAGCUGUUUCGUGCACUUUUCAGGUGAGUAUUGUUCUCUUCCCGAAUGUAUUCAUUGUGGCCUACUUCUGUUUGUUCAGACUCUUUCAGUGGGGCAAGUCUCAUAGGGAGCUUCUGUGGACAAGAAAAGCACAUGUAAGAUCACUCGUUCAUGGCACGUUGAAAGUUGUAUAAACACCACCAACGUAAAUUCAACAUAUUCUAUAAGGCAGGUCCCAUGCAGAUAGACUGAUAUGUAAGACCACUAGUUCAUUGACACGGUGAAAGUUGUAUAAACACCAACAUCAAUUACAUCUAUGGCUAGCAUAUUCAACAUUGGGGGGUUCCAUCCAGAUAGACUAGAACCGCCAAAUCUUCAUAAUAUCACAAGAUUUGUAUUUUUCUAAAAGAAUUGCAAGCAUUUGUGUCAGUAAUCAUACACCUGAUUCUCUUUCAACUUCUUUUUUUGGGGAACCCUCAAUGAGAAGAACAGGAACACUCACCAGAUAUUCUUUGACUUCCUUGUCUCCGUUGGGCUCAGCUUUCUCAAGCUGUAUAUGUGUAAUCGAUGAAUCCAUCUCAUGAAGCCUCAGAGCCACAGCUGCAGUGGUAUGUGGUAUCCAAGGAAGUAGGGGAACUGAUCCACUGUCUAGAAAGUCAGGAACAAAAACCUCUGAUUGUUUGCUGGUGCCAAGUAAUUCCUCCGUCGCUGCAAAGUUUGAUGACAGAAAGUCUCGCUUCACGGCAGUCUCAAGCAGAGUCAAUAUCUGCAACAAAGUUUGUCCAAAAUUGAGCAACUCAAUAUAUAAAUUAUGUAUCAUGAAUUGACACAUCAUGAGCCAUGGUCAUACUGGUCUGAAGCUCACCGGUGAAUAGAAUACCAUACCACGUAGAAAAAUGCAUGCGGAAUUGAUGGAUAAAUAUUUCCACAUGAUAUUUUCAUAUUGUUUGUGAAAAAAAAUCAGGAAAUUAAUUUACAUCAUGACAAAGGUUGAAUCAUAAGAAUGAAACGAGAAAAAGGUAAGACAACCUGUAGAAGUUCUUCCGUUGAUGAUGAUGCAUUCAGUUUCCCACCCCAGGUCUUUCGACGGUCUUCAGUCCAAAACGAUUGAAGAGCUUCUGGUGGAAUAGAUACCUAUCAAACAGAAUGUCAGUGAUGUAUAGACUCAAUAAAAUAAAAUAAACAAGUGCACAUACAUUAGAUGCCACGUUCUUAGGCAAGCAAACUCAAGAUUAUAGUGAAGCCAUUAGCAUCUCACCUCAAUAUGAGCUAUUAAUGCCUUGAGCAAUCUUCUGCCCAAGGGAAGAGAAGUACAUGGCAUAUGGGAAUCCCAAGGUUCCAACUUCCUUUUUUCUUUACAUUGAAUCACAUGCUCGCUAAAGUUAAAAUUUGCAUAGAAAGCACUGAAAGUCUGAUGGCAAAAAGCACAGUGGGAAUCUUCAAAGUAGUAACAACUAAGGCAGAAAUCGCAAACAUCAAACAGUGAUCUGCACCUCUUCUUCGCAUACUUCAUGGCACAAAAUGUAGAUGAGCUAAAGCAUUCUUUCCACAUCCACUUCUGAAAAUCUUGAUACCUUCUCAAGGCAGCCCUUUUUUCAGCUUCAUUUCUGUCAAGCUCAAUUCUGAAAGAAGAGGAUGUCUCUGCUGUAUCAGAAUUCAAAGCACAAACAGUACUGCCAGGGCUGUCGAAACCAGAAGGGCAAUCAGGGCUAGAAUCCAUGUCGGCUUCAUUUUUAACACGGUUUUUACUUGGGCCUGCACUGUUAGGACAAUGUGAAGUUUUCCGAACAUUGUCCUUGAACGAUGCCUCAAUCUUUUGCAACAUUAAGCGUAGAUGGGAUUCCCUAAUCCCACGUGUGUCCAGAGACGUCAAUAGAGCAUCAAAGGCCUACACAGAUAAUGGAUUCAACAAAUUAAAAUAAUGAAAAAAACAGAAGAAGCAAGGUUAAAACCAAAUACAAGUCUAAAAGAAUUGAACCAGAAAAGUAUUUAUCAACAUUUAGCACCAGAAAAAGGUUGAAAGCGCAAGAAGCCACCAUUAUUGGGAUACCAAGACCAAAGCAUCUUAAUCUUAACUUUGCAGAAAAAGGAAUAUAAGAAACUCUUAAAAGGAAAAUUGAAACAGCAUGUCAAAUCUAACAAACAUAAAAUUUGAUUCAACCAAGCAAGCAGACAAAACCUAUUACAAAUGUAAGACGUGCUGCCAACAUCAAUCACAAGACCCAAAUCUUGAUGAUCAGAUAUUUUAUUCCAAUUGGUAACAAGGCCAGCAAACAGAUAAUAAAGAAUCAACUUUACUAAGAAGCAAAUGAUGCCUAGCCCAACCUCAAUUUACUCAAAAGGGCUGGAAGGGUCAAUGGCAGUUUCUCCUAAGGAGGAUGAAAUGCAGUCAUAACCAACAAAAAUAUUUACCAGUACUAAAAUAUUCUCAUGUCAUACACAAGCCCUGAAACAAAUUGUUAAACCCGUAAGCAUUUAAGUACCUCUUCAGUGUCAAUAAGCCUCCAACUUCCAUUAUUCAAUUCAAUAAAAAUCCUGCCUGAACCAGGAUCAUUGCUUGAUGCAGAUGCAACAAAUUGCCAGUAUCGAUUAUGCCUGCGAUCUUGACCAAGAGGCAGGGACCUAUAUGCAUACAUCUCUUCUGCUCUAUGUGCAAUAUAUGAUUUUAACUGUGAGCGCGACCUUUUUGAUGCAUAUGCAAGUUGCUGACUCAAGAAGUUGUCAGGACCCAUGGAAAUAUCUUGGGCUCCUAAAGUCCUUUCAACUGGCAAACCAUUAAGCUGAUUCUGAACACCUUGUGAACCAUGGAUUGACUUUUGAUUUUCUGCAGUGCCUGGAGAUGCUUCAAUAUUUCUAUUAUCAACAUCCCGUACAGGGCUUUGUCCAUCCUCCACUCCGAUAACUUGUGUUUCAGAUUUGCCUCCCACAAAAGAUGGAAAAUCUAACUUACCGACAUUCUCUUCUUUUAGGCGACUUUUAUCAAGCUGUGCUUCUGCCCACAUUUGCUUCUUAAGAGCAUUUGCAGCUUCUAAGCGAUCCUGUUGAACUCGUGGUGUCAAAUUUAACACAGAAAAUACAACAAUUCAUUGAUUUUCACAAAAUUGAAAAAAAAAAUGUUUACCUCAAGAACAACACGGAUGGAGUUUCCUUCAUUUGCAACACCAAUUAAGGUAACCAGGCCAUUAAGACGCUCUUCCACACUGAGAUCAGAAUAUUCCCCUUCUGUAAGUCCUUGAACCCAUGACUCACCUGAUUUGCUUUCAUCAAUCUCCAUAUUUUCUUGGUCAAGAUUACUAGCACUAAUAUCCGCACCCGAAACACACUGUUUAGAGGAAGCACUAGGGCAGUUUGCAUCUUUGGAACCACUCACUGGGGAAGAUGAAACAUCGUUUUCAAACUCAUUUUGCACAUUCAGUGCAACAUCAUUGCAUAAAUCCUUUCCAUUUUCUGAGAAAGUAAUUACUUCAUUGUAAUCAUCAGGGGAUUUCUUUGCAACUGAUGGAGUAGCUAAGUCAUCAACUUCUGGAUCGUCAUCAACUUCAUCACAUUCAAAGUCUUCGUCUCUUUCAACCUCAUCAUUUUCAACCUCAUCAGCAUCAUCUCUUUCAACAUCAUCGGCAUCUUCUGCAGCUAAAAACCCAUUUUCAAAUAUCUGAAUUUUCUUCCGUGCUGCAGAAAGUAUGGCCUCGGCAUCAGCAGGAUCCUUUCUGUAAGCAGCUCGUACGCGAUAUGUUGAAGGAGCUAUUCUUUCGAAAAGCUUAGUAUCUCUUGUCAAAGCAACAGAAAUUGAAGCUUCAGGAGUCUUGCUUGUUGUCAGGUCCCGAAGGCCAGAUUUCUUACAGAAAAGAACAAAUAACAGAAAGAGAAAAAAAAAAAAAUCAGGAAAGAGGGAGCAAAUAAAUCCCGAUACCAAAAAACUCAACUCUUGUCGCAAGACACACAACAGAGUUUCUGCUAACAUUAAAUGAAAUCACCUGAAUCUUGUCAGCAAGCUCUAACACUGUUAGUCCCUUGUUUCCCUCAAGUGAAAGCACAUGAAAAGCUGCAAAUUUUACAGUUCCAGGAGUCAACCGGUGUCUAGAUUUUCGUGGGGCUAGUAAGCCUUUUUCUUGCAUUAUUGCAAAUGCAUUUUCAGCUGCUGAACCAUUGCGAAGAUUAGAAAUUGCAUCCUGACAACCUUUACCCUGAAAUUACAAGUAAUACUGUGCGUUUUACAAUUUUUGGAAUUUUAUAUAUAUAAAAAAGCAUGUCUGAAUGUACUCUAUUGAUUGAGCAAAAUUUACAUACGGACAGCCACCUUUAAGGUGGUUUAAUAUGAAUGAAAAUUGAUACUGAAUUAGAACACGCCGCCCGGUCUGAAAGUCCAAGAUUUUAAGUCUUUGAGCCUUGUGCUAAUAUUACACUUCAAGCUAAGUCCAAACAACAUUCAUAUGGGUUCCUUAGUUAUUUAUAUUUUAGAGUUUUUUAGUAAAAAUAAAUUAAAAUUCACUUUUGUUGUGCUUAGUAUGCUAAGCCUGAACUACUACCUCAAUUCACCCUUUCAUAGAGUUCAACUCACAAAUCAAUACUGAGCGGAGAGAAACAUCUAUCAGGAGAGUAUGACCAUGUGGUAUUCCUUUUGUUUUUCAGUUUUUUCCUUUUACUCUUUCCUUAACUGAUGAAGGAGAUGAAUUCCUUUGAAAGAAAAGAUAAUAAAUAACUGAAAAGAGAACCUCAUCAUUAUCAGGAGAGUAUGACCAUGCGGUACUCCUUUUCUUCAACUGUGGCCCAAAUCCGGCAGACAGUGCUAGUUGCCGGAAUAUUUCUGGCCAUGUUAGCAGAUUUAAGUGCUGCUGCCAGUUUCGUAUAUCAAAGCCCCAUGCAUAUGCCUGAAACAGAAAGUAAAAUUCAAUAUAUUUAAAGAACAAUUAGGAAAAAGCAAUAAAAUGAACAAACAAAACAACUGCAAGCAUGCAGAGAGCGAAGAUUACUCCUUCAACAAUCUGUGGAUGUCCACCACCAGGAUUAGCAGCACCAUUUUGAUUUACUCCUAAUCCAGUAGAAGGAGUCCUUGCAACAUCUUCAAUAUCUUUUAUAAUCAACCUCAAGAGAGCAACAUGGAUCUCUCCUAACAACCUUGAAUCCUGAUAUCAAAAUUGUAUGGAAUUAAACAGCAGCAGAAAACAGAUGAAGAACAGUUAACUAGAAUGCACAAUUUUGAAACAAAAUAACUCAUUGGUGGCUCACAUAGUCAUGAAAAGCUUGAACAAACUCAUCAAGAGUAAAAGGCCAUAACUCGAGAACAUCAGCAAAGGUAAUCAAAAAUCUCCAAACCUGUCACCAUCACGAUACUCAAUCAUCAGAACCAGAGGCAUUAAUUCAAAUAUCAGCAAGAAAAUAAUCUAUUCAAAAUAACAUGCAUAUGACAAUAUUGGAGAGAGCAUUUAAUUUAUAACUGCACAGAAAAAACUGAAAACCAUGAGAAUCACAUGCCAAGAAGAGCAUAUUGAAGCUGGACCAUAGAUAUUACCAACCAUGCAGUGUGCAUAAGGACAUAAUGUAACCAUCAGCCAUACAAGAAUAUAAAAAAUAUACACAUAGUACUUCUAAAAUCUCAUGUAAAAGGAAAAAGGAAGGACGCACCAUUAGGAAGUUACCAAUAUUCUCCUCUGAGUUGAUCCACGGCUGAACUGCAAAUGGUCUUUUUAAUUGCACGGACUUAGGUGGGAAUGCAGCCAGAGAAUCUAAAGCAGAAAAUCACCUCAUCAGAAAAAUUGGUAGAGUUACUACAGAAAAUAAUGAGCCAAAACAAUGAAGACAAUCUCAUGGAGUUGAGGAGGGGAACACAAGAUGAAAUUCUCAGUGCAGAAUGCCAAGCAAUACCUACCUCUGAAUGCAUCAAGGUUUUGCAAGGUGUCAAGAUCAAUACAAAUGAUUGAGGAUAAACCCUUGCUUGCAGCAGCCAAUUCCAUUAGUUCUAGUUGCUCAUCCUCAAUAAGCUCCAUAGAUUCUUUAGCAAGCCUGCGUGCAGUAGCCUUCUCAAGUGCUGCUUUGCGUCUCACUGCCUCUCUCUCUUUGCGAAGCUCUUCCUUUUGCCUCCUUUUCUCAGCCUGCAAGAUAAACCCAGGAGAAGAAAAGCAAAAAAGACAAGGGGGGAUCAAGAAUUUAUCAUUUUAUGCUGAAAAACCAAAGAUACAAAACAAAUGCAUUACAUUAGUGGCUCCUCAAACUUACUCUUAUAUAUUCUUUCUGCAAAAACUUUUCCCUUCGUUCAAUUUCACGUUUUUGCUCACGCUUUGAUCUCUCUUCCUCUCGCUGCCUUUCACGCAUCAACCUCUCUUCUUCUUUUCGUCUCUCACGGUCAUGCCUUUCCAUUUCUUUCCUCAUUCGUUCCUCAUUCUAUAAACAGAAAAAUAUCAGCAUACAAACACCUAUAGUUCAGAACAAACAUUUUGGAGUGAAAAAUAGAACCUUUCUCCUCAGAAUAUCCUGUUUCUCCAGCUCCUUCCGGAUCCGAAUCUCAUGAGCUUCAACUUCUUUAGCAAUUCUAGCUUCUUCACUCUACAAGGGGCAACUAUUAAAAUAAUCCUUGAUUGAGAAAAUAUAGUUUUCGAAUAAAAUUGAACCGCACAAGUAUACCUUGCGUUUCCUCUCCAUUCUCAGCAUAGAGUCAUUAAUUUGACCAUCAGACAAUACAUUAGAGUUUUCCGGUGCAACAGUAGGAGGAUCACUAAACUGAGUAUUUACUCUAACAUUAGUAAAGGAGUCCCUUUGUGGCACACAGCCAUCAUCACCAGGAGAUGGAAAGGCCACUGCUUGCCUCUCCUGCUGAGACAGAAGACGAACACGCGACACAUGACCAUGACCAUGGACACCAUGAACCCUUGACAAAGGCUCAUUUCCAACUGCAAAUGAUGAAGCUCUGGCACUAGGACCAUCAAUUGGUGAAUCUUGAAAAUGAGAUUGUGCGGCUUGUCCAUAUGCAUCAGACCGAAUACUGGAGUGAUCUUGAAGAAAUGGAUAUUCAUGGAGAGCCCUUGGAGUUGCCUGAGAUGAAACACAUACUAAUUCAAAAUUACAAGUGGUGAUGCAAUUGUCUUAUGGUUAUUUGAUUGAAAUACAUUCACUUUCUAUUUCUAAACAACACAUCAUUUGAAAAGAGUAUGCGUUUAUCAGAGUUUCUUAACAGAAGGUUAUGGUAUACUGGCAAGCGGGAGAACAAAGUAGUGGUAUAUUUAUUCGCUAAAAGAAAAUCUAAUACCCAGAACUUGGAAAAUGAGAGAGCAAAUGGACGCUUCUCUCGUAUUUUUAGGGAUAAAGCCACAUAAGUUAUAAAGGAUGUAUCAUACUAAUAAAAAAAGAGCAAUACAUGUAUAUCACUUAAUGAUUCACCAGCAUAUCAUUGCACAUGCCAUCAUAUGGUGCAUAUAAAGUAAUAACUUUUAUCAAAGAAAAAGAGACGGACUUUAUUUGGUUUUGCAUCAUGCCGCUCAUAUUUGCCCUCCAAAGCAUGGGCAGCCCGCUUCUGCUGCUCUGCAACUGCUUCACCAAGCACAGAAACAAAAGGGUUAGCAGCAAACCGAUCGCAUACAAGAAUCAGUCAAACAAUAGGCAAUAAUAUGCUAGAUUAAUAAUGUGGCCUUUAUUGAGCAAUAAAUCAUAUGUUUUCGCAAUUUUUCUGAUUCCAAUGCAAUAAUUUUAGGAAAUAGUCCAUACUUUUAGACCACCCCCACCACCACAAGAUGAAAAAAUUUGGAACUCAAACUUCUUAACAUAAUCACCACAGUGCAUAAAGCCUCAAAGCAAAUGUGAAUGUUAAACUACACUAGAAACCAAAGUUAAACCAACUAAAAAAACCUUAAUUAUUAAGAAAAUUGGUGAACCAAGUAGCAAGUGUGAUCCAAAUGCAUCUGGAAACUUGUAAAGCCCAUGACUGCCAUAAAAUAAACAAACUUAUUGAUACAUUUAAACAUGGCAAAAAGAAAAGUCAUGAAAAUAAUUUCUGUUUAUCUUAGAGAUGGGAAUGCAAAAUACAAAUAUGCUCCGAGAAAAACAGACCAUCAUAAACUCACUAGACAACUACAAGCACAAAAUUCUCUGCAUAAUGCUGCAACGAAAUCCCAUAUAAGUCAAGUACAAGGCAUUGCUGAACUGAGCUGUACAAUCAAUAAGGGAACCCAAUAGUUAUACCUAUAGGUGCUCCGAACGCAUCUGGCGGCAACCGAUCGAACUCUACGCCGAGAACUGGCCCAUCUUCCCUCAAUGGCUCUCCCAAUUGAGCUUCCACACAAGCAAUGGCUCUAAGCUCCAAUAUCGACUGGGGUGACUCGUAAUACCUCCUCCUCAUUGGCACAUCGUCAGCCCCACUCCUGGAAACCACAUUCCGCAACUCCGCAUGCCCAAACGGGCUUGAGCCGGAGCCUGAACCCGACCCAUAAUCACUACCUGGCUCAGACCCGUGAGCCAAAUCAUCAAUAGGAGGCUCGGGCAAAGUGGGCACCGAUUUCCGCUGUUUCUUUGCUGGACCCCCUUCCUUUUUGUCCUUCAAUCUUCUGUGACAGAACCACAUCUGCAACUGCCGAUCAGUAAGCCCUAAUUUUUCCGACAGCUCCGCCCUUAUCGCCUCCGACGGGUAGGUCUCCACUGAUCAAAAACCCAAAAAAUAAAAGAAGCUUCAAUUUUCACAGACAGUAGCUAUAAAUUUAAAACAAAAAAAAGAAAAAAAUCGAGAUUGAACUUACAGGCAUAAGCUUUCUCGAGGGUUUCAAGCUGAAAGGGGGUCUUCAUCUGGCGCUUGGGCUUGCUCUGUCCCUCACUGGAAUUAUUAAAUUUACCAUUACUGUUGUUAUUUUCAUGAUUUUUAGUCGGAUUUUCUCCUUCGGAAGCACCCUCCAUUGAAGCAAGAUCAAGAUCUGGGCAGAACAAAGCUUCUUCCUUCAAGCCUUCAAGGCCCCAAACCUCGAAACCUCGAAACCCUAGAAUUCCCAAAUCCUCAUGGAGAGAAAAACAAAACAAAAACUGGGUCUUCCGAAAGCAAACAAACAAACAACGAAGAAUCUGAUUUCUCCUUUUCUCUCUCUCUAUCUCUAUAUCCUCUCUCUUUUCCUUUCUUUAAACAAAUACCGUAACAGUCAAGGAAAAGAUCAAGAAAGAGAGAGGCGUAGAAUUAUCAUGAUGGAAUAAUGAGAAUAACAUGAAUAAAAUAAAUGUGAAUUUCGGGGAUUGACAUGAAAAUAUGACAACAACAACAUCAAUAACAAGAAUAAUAUCAAAAAAUAGGAAAAGGCAAAAUCAGGAACAUAAAACCAACAGUCUUUCCUCACUCUAAUUCCACCUUCCAUAAUUUUCUUAUUUUUUUUGUUUUUCACUUUUCUAUUUCUAUUUUCUUUUCUUUCGGUCUUUGUUUUGUUUUUGUUGCCUUUUCUUUCUUUUUUUUUAAUUCGAUGGUACUUUCAUACUUCGUUGCGUCAAACGAUACGAGGCCCUUUUCUCAGUUUUAACGUUGCGUGGUUUGGUUGGGCUGGCUAAAAACACGAACCCACGUUCCAACCAACAAAAAUGAACUUCUUUUUAUUUUGUGUUUUGUGUUUUGGUUCCAGCGAGCGGAUGCCGAAAACUCUCUCUUCGUGUUUGUUUUUAAUUCGAUUGACUUUUCAAUUUUUUAGGUUGUACGAGUUUUUUCUUUCUUUUUUUUAUGUUUUUUUUAUUGAUGACUCUAAUGUUAUUGCAAGUGUGCGUGUGUGUUUGAUUUCGAAGGCUUCUGUCUGGUUGUUAAUUUAGGUUCUUUGUGAUCUUUGGAUGCGAUCUUCGGCUGCGAUGAUCGAGCAUGUCUUUCUGGUUUGUGUUGUUGCGGGCCCCGCUGUCCGCUUUGGAAAUCUUUGGGCUAGGCUUUCUGAGCUGGGCAUGUAUUAAAGUACAAAAAAGGGUCCGCCCACAACAAAUUUUAGGCAUGUUAUAUUUUCGACUUUUAUGUUUUCUGGCUUUUUUCUUCUUGAUAAGUAAAUAUGUUGGUAUAAUUUCUUGAUCAGAGAAAAAAACAUGUCGUUAUAAUUUUAACUGUUUCUGAAUGUUCGAGCAUUGCUCGAGAAGAGUUCGAGUAAUGCUCCAGGGUCCCAGAAUGCUCGAGUACAACUCGAGCGAUUAGUUUUUUAAAUCUUGGAAGAAAAAUAACUACAUGUCUUUAUUGUGUUAUUAAAAAAAUUAAUUUUCCAAAUUUCACAACUUCCAUACUAAAAGAGCACAACGAAAUACCAACACCAAUUAAUCAAUGAUCAUUGAAUGCCAGCAGAGACUUAGCUGCCUGAUUUGAAAGAUGCGAACAAGAUCAAAAUGUUCCUUUGGGGUCUUGGGCUCUGAGCUCGUGGCAAGCUUCUCACCAGUGAGCAAAUGGCUAGAAGACAUCAGCAGAGGAUAUCAUACAUCUUGCUCUAGCUGUAGUGGUCCACUCGAAUCUCUAACCCAUCUUUUGAAGGACUUGAGAGAUAGAGAGUACGUAGAGUUCGUAAGGUCCUUAUCCUUUACCCCUUUGCCGUUGGGUGGCUAAAUCUCAAUAUUCUCCAUUCCUAAGGCAAGAGUUUUUGGGUCUAGAGUGAGUUUCUGCCUUCUCAAUUUGGUCACAUGAAAGUAGAAUAUCUUUGAGCCACUUUCUAAAGUUCAACGCGAUUCUAAUAAAAACACUUAUGAGCAGAAAUGAGAGUGGGAGUGAGAAUGAACUUGAACAAAAGAAAUAAAUUCUCCGUGUUAAAUAUCAUGUGUAUAUUUCCUAUCCUUUCUAAUGCAUUACUUUACUUUUGAAUGAAUGAAGAUCUAAGCAAAACAUGUAAAUUGGCAGUUCAAGCAUGUCUCUAGAUACAGAUAGCAAUCUAUUCACUCACAUAUAAAAUCUCCAUUCUCUUGACCCUUUUUAGGCUUCCAUCCGUAGGAAGAGCUCAUUGUGAGAAAGAUAAAAAUUGAUACAUUAUUGAAUUCCAGUCCACAUGAGACCAUUGCAAAUUAGAAUGUCUUUGUGCUCUCAAUCAAUCGGAGAAAAAAAAACGUGGGAAGGGGGAAAUAAACUAUAACAUGGACAAUAGACAGAUACUCAAUUUGCCAUUUCUUCUGAAGGGAAUUUAUGAAAUUUACAAUGCAAGGUUCCCUCCAUGUCCAUUCUUCCCUUCUUCUCAUGCAGCUUUCCCUUGCUGGGUUUUAUGAACCAAAAAAAGGGUCAGAAGAGCAAUAAUAUUACACAGAUAAAUUUAUUUAAUGGAAUUGGAUGCAAGGGACUAACUGCCACAUGCAUGAGCUAAAUUUAGCUAUAUCUGACUUACUCGUUUCUCUUCUUCUAUUUUGGCCUUGAUGUAAGAGUAGAUUGCCACUCCUGCAAUCGCAAUGGCUGUCCCGAUACCAGUUUGUGUUGAAAUCUUGUUGCCUGUGAGCAGCAAGUAGCAAUUAGUUAUACAAAAGAAAAAGGGAAGUUGAAGAAGCAAAAGCAGAACCAAGCUGAAGAAAAGAAGAGCCUUACCAAAGACCAAGAUGGAAAAGCCAAUCACAAAUACACGUUUCAGCACAUUUCCAACUGCAUGUGUAAGAGGUGCCACUCUCUCCAGGGUAUUGGUGGCCAGCUGAUAAUUUCAUAACAGGAUACUGAUUAUUAACUUGGGCAACAUUUGAGUUAUUUUGAGAGGAUUAUCCUCCUACUAUUACAAAGCCAUAGAACCAUAAGUUACAAUAGAAAGUAAAGAAAACAAAUGUACCUGAUUAUAGAGAUGGUAGAACAAUCCCACCCAGAAGAGAUCAGAAACGAACUUGACAAGACCUACUUUAGCAAUUGCAUCAUUGAAGCCGUACUUAAUCAGUUGAGGCCCCUCUACCUGUGAUAUGAGAGAGGACAUUGAACCAAAAUUCAUCACAAUUUUUGUUUCAGUUGCACAAUCAAACUUCAAGGGUUCUCAAGUGUAAGUUUUACUCACGAUGAGAGCCGGUGGAAUGCAGACAAGAAGAGCAAUGAUCGAAAUAUAGGCAUAGAGAUUGGUACUGUCCAUAUCAGUCUGCAAAACCAAUAAAACGUUAUACAAGUAAGAAGCAAUCUUUAGCUCCCCAUGUUCUGUCCUAUUCAAAACAAAAUGCUAGCUAAAGUUCCAGAGCCACUCACCAUGGCUUUCUUUGAAUAGAUACUCCUGUAGGUAAAGGAGAUGUUUGAAAUCAUAGCACUAAUGAAGCCAGUCCAGUUGAAUGACAACUCAGUCAGCGAUGCCAUCGACACACCUUCAUUUUAAAAGUACGUAAAUACUAAGUGAGCAAAGACAGUCUGAAUAAAUUCUCAUGGCUCAUAGUUUUUGGGUAUCUCCAUGAUUUACAUUUUCCAUAGUUUUCAAUAGAAUGAUUGCAACGACGGGAUGAACAUAAAGAGAAGAGCAUACCAAGAACAACAGGAGCCAGGGACAGCCAUAGAGACAAGGGGAUUGAUUGUCCGAGAAUAAAUUGCGAAGCAGAGGCAUUGAAGAAUGGCUCAAGAGCUGCAACAAACAAAUUCAACGUCAAAAUGCAAUAAUUAAAAGUGCACUUGAACAAUUUUGGCCAUUGUACCAAACAUAUGAGAGCAUAAGAUUUGUCCUCCCACCUUUGAUGGUAUGUGUGAAGGAGACUGCAACGGCUGCAAAUGAGACAUUGCUGGUGACGUGGCCAAGUGCAUGGCACACGGCCACAGGGAUGAGCAGCUUCAACAGGUUUGAGUCAAUAGGCUGCACGGAGACGAGAAACACCAGUCAGUCACAUAAACAAGACAACCAACUGAACAGUGAACAGAUUGAGAUUAGCAUUAUGGGCCUGGGCCUGAAGUGAGUUCACUUACAGCGCGUUUAGGAAGGCCCACGGCCCAGCUUAUCAAACAGUACACCACUCCCACGCCCAAGUGCACAACCGACACAAAACUGCACACAAACCUCAAACCCACUUAUUCGACCCAAAAAAAAAAACCGCAAACCCACUUCAUCAGAAGUUCAGAACACAGACCGAAUUCAAAUGGCUAGAACCAGCUAAAUUACGCCUGAACAUGAAACACAUAUGCUAUCCUACGCUUUUUUAUUUAUUUGUUUACAAGAAUUAUAGGUAACGAAAAUUGAAAAUGGCACACUUACUAGGGAUACGGGAAGUAAUUGUAGAUCUUCUUGUUCAUGAUGUUGAAAAUCACAUUCAGAAAAUACCUGCCCGCCAAGGACGACUCCGUAAUUUCACAUACAAAAUAUUUCUCCCAAAAAAAAGCUUGAAAAGUUUAUUAAAAAACGUACCACAUGAAGAAGAAGAAGCCGGUGAGGAUAGCCGGGUACUUGUCGAAGAACCCGAGCGGCGCGACCUUCGCGUCCCUGUUAAGAGCACCGAGUCAGGCAGAAAAGGCCAAAAAGAAAAAAAGCAUUAGUCCGGAGGCCGACACGGGCGAGUCAGACCGAGUCGGAACGGAGGAAACGGACCUCACCCGGCGGAAUCGUUUCCCUCGGUCGGAGAGGAAGCGGCGGCGAGGCAAGGCCGGAGAAUCUCCCUCUUCAACGGCGAGGCCUCGAGCAGCAGCCCGGGGCGGAGUUGCCUCCCCCAUAUGAGGUUCCCGCCCUCGCUCACGGCGCCGAUCGGCCGAGCCGAGAAGAACGAAACGGCGGCGUUUUCCCUGGGAGAUGGUUUGCGGUGGCAGGGGAGGGCUCCGAAUGUGGUGGCGCGUGAUAGCACUCGCGACUCCAUGAUUGCUGGGGGAAUGAGAGUAAACUGAGAGAGAGAGAGAGAGAGAGAGAGAGAGUGGAGAAUGUGGUUUGGGAAGCUGCAGUGAGCUCUUAUUGGUGAUUCAGAGUAGACACACAGCACAGCAGAGACAGAGAUGAUGCGCACCGUUUUGGAGUGGGUGUUCGAGGGCGGUUAAUUGCUUUUGUUUUUGUUCGUCUGGGAUAUAAUCUGUUACGACGCGGAACAAGUUAAAUAAAAUGCAUCCACCAGUGAGAUUAGAUGAAGAACUUGAAAUGGUGAAUCGGAGGGUGUGGAGAGGUCGAUGAUGGCGGGAUAUGGUGAGGUGGGGGAGGGAGUAUGGGAGGUUAUGGUCGGUACGGGAUAUGUUUAUGGAGGAGAGUGAGUGAGGGAGAUAGGGGAAGAAGUUGAUAUGACUGUGGAGGGGGGUGGGGACAUCUUAUCCCCAGCGUAAGGCUUACGAGCAACGAAGAUUGGCAGUGUUUUGAAGCCUCUUAUCGAUUUUGUUUUCUUAAUGGCUUUUUUUUCUUUUUCUUAUAUGUGAUGAACUGUCAAAGCUGUCCGUGAUGUUGUUAUUUGCUUUUUAUUCACUGUUCUCACGAGAAGCCAACUGUUUGCCUCUGUACAAAAAUUAUUUCUGCAGUCCGUCCCAACCCAACUACCAGUCUACUAAAUUAAUUUCGUUUUCUAAGUGAAGAGGGAGAUUCAAAUUUGGAACCGAAAGAAGAAUAUCAUUACAUUUGGAGUAAAUUAGUGAUUAAAGAUAAUAGUUAACUUGGCUUAAGUAAAUACUAUUCCGGUCAUUGAGAGUACGGAAGAUGAAAUGCUUGAACCAAUUGGUAAUGUGUUCGAUUCUCCAUUGAAAUCAUCUAUUGUUUUUCGAAAUAAGAAACAAAUUAAAAUAGUGCAGGAAACUAAAAGAGUUCAAAGUUAAUGAUUAUGAGGAUACAACUAAUAAAAUGUUGGAUGUAUAGAUCAAAAUUAUUGUUUUAUGCAUCUUUUAUAACAAGUUGGUUUUCUUGGUGCAAUUGAAACCCCAAUAUAGAAGAACAUUGUCAAUUAAACUCCAACUAGCCAUUUAUUGGGCCUAUGACAGCGUAAAUUGUCGAUGGACCCGAUCCAUUUGUCUAUGGGCCUGAUUGAAGCAUUGCAUGUUCCCAUUUUGAUCCAAAUUGCCAAUGUCGUCGAGUGUUCGCGCCCUAGGCCGUCUAAAGCCUCUGCUGCUGAGCAUUACCAUUCAGGGACCGUCCAAGACGUCGGGAAAAUACGAUGAGUCUGAAAGAGAAAAACAAUUUCAUGAUAAUCAGUCCGCAGGUAAGGUUGCUGCUACUUCUGUUACAAUUAAAUUUCUACUUUCCCCUCAAAAUUCUUGUGUGAUUUAAAGUUCCCGCCUAAGACUGGUGUUACGGGACGACAUCUGUUUGAUGAAAUGCCCCACAGAGUUUAGACUAGGUGGCUUCUUAGCUUGAAUUUUACUGCUAAUCGAUUCAUGUUGUUCGUGGGUAGUUCUUUUUAUCUGGUUCUUGUCUCAUUUUGCUCUUAUGUUUAUAGAAAUGUAGAAAUUGAUUCAGAGAUUUGCAGGCAGAGCUUUUAUUGUGCAAAACUGAAACAUAAUUGGGAGUGAAUGAUAUUGUCUUAUUGAGAAAGAGUGCUGCCAAUACAAUGGGAAGCAAAACUUUGUUUAAAUGGUCGAAGCAAAUCACUACUUCCCAAGUUGAGCAGCUGAUAAAAGCUGAAAAGGACAUACAGAAAGCUAUUCUCAUAUUUGAUUCCGCAACAGCCGAGUACACCAAUGGCUUCCGGCAUGAUCACACCACCUUUGGUCUCAUGGUCGCUAGAUUAGUCUCCGCGAACCAGUUCAGGUCAGCCGAGGCGUUACUUGAUAAGAUGAAGGAGGAGAAAUGUAGUGUUACAGAAGAUAUAUUCCUCUCUGUUUGCAGAGGAUAUGGCCGCGUUCACAGGCCACUGGAUGCUGUCAGGGUCUUCCACAAAAUGGAGGACUUCCAGUGCAAACCAACCCAGAAAUCUUACAUUACCAUACUUGGCAUUCUUGUUGAAGAAAACCAGUUAAAGAUUGCUUUCAGGUUCUACAAGUAUAUGAGAGAAACGGGCAUUCCAGCUAGCGUUGUGUCGCUUAAUAUUUUGAUCAAAGCCCUUUGUAAGAACAGUAGUUCCAUGGAUGCAGCUCUUCGAAUAUUUUGUGAGAUGCCCAAUCAUGGGUGCACCCCAGAUUCAUAUACAUAUGGUACUUUGAUUAAUGGAUUGUGUAAGUUAGGAAAGAUUGGUGAAGCAAAAGAGCUCUUCAAUGAAAUGGAAACAAAAGGUUGUUUGCCCUCUGUUGUUACGUAUACUUCCUUGAUACACGGCUUUUGCCAAUCCAACAAUUUGGAUGAAGCUGUGGGAUUGUUUGAACACAUGAAAACCAAAGGUAUUACUCCAAAUGUCUUUACUUACAGCUCUUUGAUGGAUGGACUUUGCAAGGGUGGGCGUUCUUCACAAGCAAUGGAACUAUUAGACUUAAUGAUUCGUAAGCGCCAUAGGCCAAACAAUAUCACUUAUAGUACUUUGCUUCAUGGACUCUGUGAAGAAGGAAAGCUUCAAGAAGCUUUGGAGAUUCUAGACAGGAUGAAGCUUCAGGGCUUGAAACCAGAUGCAGGGCUGUAUGGGAAGGUAAUUAAUGGCUUUUGUAACAUUUGCAAGUUCCAGGAAGCUGCAAACUUUCUUGAUGAGAUGGUCCUUGGAGGAGUUUCACCUAACAGACUAACUUGGAGCCUUCAUGUAAGGAUUCAUAAUGCAGUCGUCCAGGGCUUGUGUAGUAGCGGCAAUCCAAAUCGAGCUUGUCAGCUGUAUCUUAGCAUGCGUUCCAGGGGUAUCUCCAUUGAUAUGAAGACAUUUGAUACUCUAGUGAGGUGUAUCUGUAAAAAAGGGGACCUGCACAAAGCUUAUCGAAUUGUUGAUGAGAUGGUGCUUGAUGGAUGUGUUCCGGAUGAGGGAAUAUGGAGUUCCAUGGUGGAUGGGUUUUGGAAUCGCAGGAAGGUGCGUGAACCUGCUGAGUUGUUGCAGGCUGAGCUGAUGAGUGAAAUGGUUGAGCCUGAAACAUAAAUCUGAAAGUUUUGAGCUAGUAAGUGCUCUUAUACACGUUUCAUUUAUUUUCUUUCUGGUCAUGAAAGUUUGUUCACCACAUUGCCUUUUCUUUUUCUUUUUAUGAAAUUAUAAGUUACUGGCUCAAAAUAUGACUACUUACGUGGCACAUGAUUUAUAAAGCACUUGCUUAGUAUAAUGUCAUUGGUAACUGUCCAUAGUGAAUUUAACCAAGAACGUUGGUAACUGUAGCGCUAGAAAGGAUUUUUCUGUAUAUUAACCAUGAAAUAUAUUUGGUUGACAAUCUUGAAGUAACUUGUUCUUCCUAUUAUUCACAUACCUCACUCAUGUACUACACUCUUUGGCAUAUAAGAGAAAUAAGUAUGACAAGCAUUUGUUAAAUCAGUACCAGAUACAAUCUAUCCUGUCAAGAAUCGAGGUUUUUAAAAGCUAUUUCUUUAAAGGUGGAACUAGGAUUUACAAAAAAAAAUAGAAAUCAUAUAACUGACAUUGACAGAGCUUGGAGGAAGCUGAUAUGGAAGAAUGAAUAAAUAACGUUGUGUGCAGUCCACAAUUUUAAGGAGCACGCAGGCAAAUAUUUCUUAAUUAAAAAAAGAGGAGUUGUUAAUUUACAGACAGGGGGAAGCCAAUUCCAUGGCGCUUGGUUGGAAAAACAACAAACAACAUACUGCAAAUGACACCAAUGCCAACUGGCAAUGCUGUGAGAAUCUCCUGAGCCUUAUCCGACGGGGUUGGAUAGAAGCAAUUCACUACAUUCUGAUCAAAUAGUGCAACAGCUGCAAAUACAAGUAUUGACAUAAAGGCAUGGAGGAAAUCUAUAAACCGCAGUUGGAAAUUUGCAUCAACUUCGGGUGAAAGGGUGGUUGACCCAUCGAUGAUCCAUAAGCCUCGGAAUGUAGCAAAGCCAUAACAGACAUUUCCAUUCUUGUCUCUAUAGCUGUCAGUGAAGCUCAGUAGAAAACAUGAAGCUCCACAGAGGGCUACAAGACCAGCAGUCAUGGACCGGCUGACUGAGUCACAGUUGCCUUGGUUUGAAAAUAUGGGUGCUAGAAGCUGAAAUGCAAGAACUGUUCCAGUUGGUAAAAGAUUGGCCAAAUGAGCUGUGCUUUGAAACGUCUGGCGAAUGGCUUUCUGUAUCAAGGUUCUUUCCUCCUCUGUUACGGACUUUGGCAUAUCUUGCAAGAGGGGAAGUUUUUGUUCAUCAUCAGGCCAGUGCCGGGAUUCCUCAGCUUGUAUCUUGAUCUCCAUUGACCAGAAACGCUUGAAGCUUCUUUUCCCUUAAUGUUUUGGUCUCUUUUCUUGGUUUGUUUUAGAAUUUUUGUUGGGAGGAACAAUGUUAUAUAGAUAGAGAAUAAAAAUGAAAAGAGUGGAGGUAAAGGGAGGGAAGAGUAGUUAGUCAUGCCUUGCAAGGAAGAGAAACCUAAAACUGGAACUGAAAUUGAGACAAAGCUGCUACCAAAUGGGAUUUUUGGUUUCGUGCAUAGAGCUUCAAAGUAGAUGAAAGAAAGCUUUUUGGUAUUAGACAAAUGUCCAUCAAGAGGCUUCAUUUUUGUGCUAACUGCCCAUCAAGCUUUCAUGACCGUUAUAGACCAUGGUUUUUAAAGUUGUCACAAAGAGGGAGGGGUGAUGUGAUCAGGUUCAAGAAGUUUGGGGCUUACAAGGUUUUUGUUGUUUGUUGCUGAAACGCAAAGUGUAUUGCUUAAAGGCAAGAGGCUUCAUAAGAGGUAUUCUUUACUUUUAUUAUUAUUACUUCUAAAUUUAGAAGUGGAGACCCACACUUCUUUGGUUUUAGGCUUUGCUUUUUAGUUUUUCCUUCAACACAUGAAAGUCCGUAUUGGAUGAGAUAUUAGGCUUCACUUUUAAGGA